Molecule: long non-coding RNA, 73282 nt
Filed under: Malus domestica (apple)
Lineage: Eukaryota; Viridiplantae; Streptophyta; Magnoliopsida; Rosales; Rosaceae
Description: long non-coding RNA (MDOM_LNC001341)
Source: RNAcentral
AAACGUAUUUUAGCAACCUUUAUACAACAAAUUAGUUAACCAAUCAACUUUUCAAAAAUUGGUCUCAGUACAAAAGCAUGUGAUCUUUUUUUUUUUUUUUUUUUUUUUUUUUCAUAAAACGAGCAAAGAGCCUCAAUUUCGUUGCUUGAAAAUACAUAACCUCAGAGUUGUAAAACCAAAAUACCAAGAUGUUUUUUGUCAUCCAAGAAUUUUGUACCAGUGUUUUUUGUCAUCCAAUAAUUGGAGUAAUUUACUUGCAUGCGACCCUGCCUCCUCUAUCUGGAUCAACUAAUUAGCUCACAUGCCUUUGUCUAGUUCAGAAACAUAGCACUGAUUCUACUGGUAAUCAAAAUAUCACCUGAAAACGACCAAAAUCGUGUAAAGAUCGGACAGCAGUGAUCUCACAUCCCUGGUUGUUCAUCCCCAUAUAUGCUGCAAAAAUAGCAAUACAACUUCAUCAUCGAAAGUCCUUACAUCUUCCUUCAUUGCAUUUCAAAACUUCCUUCUUUCUCUUUUUUCUUCUUGCAUAGGUGUUUUCAUUGCUCUAUUACAAAUUGGAAAAAAUGAAAGUUGUCAACGUAAAUAAGUGACAGUUUUAAUAAAAAUGAGAAAACAAAAUAUAUGUAUGGUUUAAGAAUGAAAAUAAGUUUAAACCUCAAAGUACCGUUGUCUAUUCGAUUACUUAGGAAUCAAUCUGCUAAACUAAAAUAAUCCUCUAGAUAGUUUAUAGUACUAACCAAACAUUUUAUUUGGUCUGCUUGCUUUCACUUUCAAUUCGGAUCAAAAGUAAGAGAGAGUUGCUAGGAUAAGGGUGAACGAAAUUGACUAUUUAAAGUUGAAUUCCUUCACUGCCGGCCGGGAAGGUGCAGUGGAAGAGAGAGAGACAGAGAGAAGAAAAGAGGAAAGAAACGAACACGAAAUGACAAAGACUAUCCAUAAGAUUAUACAAUGAUUUCUUUGCUGUGAUUAAGCUAUUCAACUAUCAAUAAUGCAUUAUUUUAGGUUGAAAUUUGAAAGCAUAUGAGAAGUAGCAAUGGCAACAACCACAUAAUAGUUCCUUUCAAUAUAAGCCUGGUAUCCCGUCAUUUAAAGCCGCAUGGAGGUGGCCCGUGAAGCCAUUAUGUGUGUCUGCACCGUUGAAGCUCAAGAACACAUCGUAAUUCCAAAGUUUUGACUUGGAGGAGGAUGAAGAGGAGGCUUCGUGGGCUGUCAUCAUAUUCACUGUUUAGCAGUGCAGUGGCUGUGUUUGUGUUUGUGUUUCUUUUCGUAUCAAGAUCCUUCAGUCAACAAAAAUAAAAGUUUAUAAUAUAAUAAUGUUCGUCUAUGGACUUGAGAAACGACUUACAGCCAGGCAGGAAAGACUAUCAUUAAUGCAUUAUUUUAUGUUAAAAUUUGGAAGCAUUUGGGAAGCGGCAACAACCACAUAAACAAAAGUGAUUAGAAAAAAAGACCUAAAUGUGAAAGGAUAAUUAAAAACAAUUAUUCAAGAUAGGUGAUAAAUGAUUGAUUCAUCUACUUCGAACUUAGGACAACAAUUUAUUGAACGGUUAGAUUAACUAUUAAGUGGUGUUCUAUUAUAAUACACCCAAAUGGGGGUGAUCCAUAUAAUACACCUAAGUGGACCAUUUUUAGGCUCCGCUGCUAAAAACUAUUGCAAAAUGCAUUAUUUUAGGUUUUUGGAAUCAUUUGAGAAGUAGCAUGACAACAACCACAUAAUAAGCAAAAGUAACAAUUAUUUAAGAAGGUAGUGAUGAGUUGAUAUUAUUCUAUAUUUUUACCCUAAUUUUAGUUAUAAUAUAUUGGUUAUUUUGAGAGAAUUUGGAUACCUUACUCUAUAUUUCAAUUGUAGGACAUGUGGAUCUACUUUGAGCAAAAAAUGAUAAAAUGAAGGAAUUUUGGAGUAAUUCCAAUUGCAGUGGAUUCGUGAGUUUUUGAAGAUGAUUGUGUCAAGUGGGGCGUUGGUUGAGUGUAAUAAAUUAAUUUUCCUAGAUUUUGUAGUAAAUUGAUUGGAGUCAAUUAGUGAGUCUUUGCUCAGGCCAAGAGAGUCCGGCGUGUGUCCGGAUGAAAUUGUUGGAUGCACAAUUCUCUGUGAGAGUGUUGGAAUUCUUUGUCAGUUUAAAUAUGGUUUUGGAGGCCUUGAGUAGACAUUAGGCUCUUUUAAACGAGUUAAUUGUUAAUGUCAAGCGUGCCAUGUUGGUUUAGAUCAGGCAGGAAGGACUUUGCCAUAGAUAUGUUAAAUCUAUGUCAAGUUCUUUUUUGUGCCUUGUUGUUAAGGACUUGUAUAUACCAUUUUUUGUUAUACCAAGUUAUUAUCACAAACCGAUCCAAUAUUGGUAGUGGUUGCACUGCAGCAAGUCAAGCUCCUUUGGUCAACAAAAACAAAGUUUAUAAUAUAAUAAUGUUGGUGUAUUGACUUGAGAAACGUCAUAUUACCUGCCGGAAAGGUGCUGCGAAAGAGAGAAGGAAAAGAUGAAAGAAAUGAACACGAAAAUGACAAAGACUAUGCAAUAGAUUAUAACAUAACUUCUUGGCGUUGAUUACAACUGUUCACCUAAUUCAACUAUCAAUACAUAUAAAAUAUGAUAUGAUUAUAUAAGUAACGACCCUAAACCUUAUUGGAUCUAAUUAACUAAUGAAUAAAUAAUCUUAUUAGACAGUUGGAUUCCUUAGCAAGUGGUUAACUAUCUUUUUAAGUUUAGAAGUCAUGUAGUAAUUAAUUAGUAAUGAUCAAGUAUCUUAAGAUUUUUUUUUUCAUCAAUUGUAAUCUAUUCUUUUAACACUCAUCACUUGUUAGUAAUUUGUGCUUUGGCAAGUUUGCUGCACGAUGGAUUAAAGGGGGGGGGGGGAGUGCUUCUUUUAGAUAGUUUGUAUGAAAUAUUGGAGAGAAAUAUAUUUGUGAAGUGAAAAAAUAAUUCAAAAAAGUUAUGCAGCUGACACGUGACUUUUAAUCACAAUUGAUUAGAAUGCCUCUUAUUAAUUUGGCAAGGUUCACAUCCGUUUCACACACAAUUUAACCACUACUAAUGUAGUAUUAUGCUUAGUUUCAUGGUAGAGGUGGGUUCGGAUUCAUUCGGUUCGUUUUUUUUUUUUUGCAAAAAUCGAAACCGAACCGAAACUUAGGUUCGGUUCAAUUUUCUUUAGGUUUUUUUCGGUUUGGGUUUAUUCAGUUCGAUUUUGGUACGUUUUCGUUUUUAUUUUAUUUUAAAAACUUGAUCAUUUUUUUAAUAUGGAAUUUAGAAAAGAGGCUUGCAUUGGUAGACUAAUAAUAAGAAAAUUGGGAAUGUGGGAAUGUGGGAAGGUAGUUGUACAUAUACAAGAUCAUAUAAACCAAUCCUAUGCUAUCAAAAACCUCAGUUGCAAAGAAAAAUGAUCACUGUAUCCAUUUAAAAAGCAAACAAAUAGAAAAGCUCUUCUAAGUUCCAAAACUUUCGUCUAUAACCAAUGAAAUAUCCUCCCUAAUUGAGACAAGUAUGCACCUUGAAAAAGCCCUAGGCUUAGUUUCAAACUUGACAACAAAGUUUCACAAAAAUGGGCAUACAUUCAUAAAAUCUAAAGGGAUUUGGUUCGGUUUUUUUUUAUUUUCGGUUUUCGGUUCCGGUUCGCUGUUCGGUCCCUUUUUUUUCGGUUUUCGAUUUUUUGAACCCACCCCUAUUUUAUGUUAUUUAGUUGUGGGGAAGGGGUCGAGAUGAGGCUGAUGUUCUCCAAACCUCCAAAGCUAUUAUCACAAACCGAUUGAAUAUUGGUAGUGGUUGGGCUGCAGCAAGUCAAGCUCCUUCAGUCAACAAAAACAAAAGUUUAUAAUAUAAUAAUGUUGGUGUAUGGACUUGAGAAACGACAUAUUGCCUGCCGGGAAGGUGCACGAAAGAGGGAAGGAAAAGAGGAAAGAAAUGAACAUGAAAGGAUAAAGACUAUGCAAUAGAUUAUAACAUGACUUCUUAGUGGUGAUUACAACUAUUCACCUAAUUCAACUAUCAAUACGUAUAAGAUAUGAUAUGAUUAUAUAUGUAAGUAACGACCCUAAACCUUAUUGAAUCUAAUAAUUACCUAAUGUAAUAAAUAAUCUUAUUAGACAGUUGGAUUCCUUAGCAAGUGAUUAACUUAAGUUUAGAAGUCUAAGUAGUAAUUAAGUAGUUGUGAUUAAUAUCUUAAUAUUAACAGCAGUAUGAAGGUGUCACAAAAUUCAAACUUUAGGUAUGAAAGUGAGAUAAAAGAAUUAUAGGUCUAAAAGAUGGAAUUUCACAAUACUUAUGCGUAAAGUGAGAAUUACCCUAAAAAAAAUUAUUCAAGAUGGGGGUGUAAAUGAUUCCAUUUACAAGAUUCGAAUUUAGGACCAAGACCAACGGAUCGUUAUAUUAAAAAAGUGAGACAGAUACAAAAUCCCUUGAGGAAAGAACUCAAGACAAACUUAGUAGCUCUACAAUGACUACGAGGACAAAAGAAGGUGGAUUUUCCUUCAUGUCCAGCUUGCAGCUUGUUAUUAAAUUUUACUAUUAUUCUAUGCUGCAUCCAGGUUUUGUGUAGUAUUAAGUUUAAUUUUAUGUCACCUAGUUGUUCACUGAUUAUUUCUAGUGGUGCAUAUAUAUAGUUGUAGAUGGGGCAGGUGUAAGGUGGCACACGAUAAAACUUGAAUCAUUUGAAUCGAGGGGAAACCAAAUUUCUACUCUGUUUUGUCUGUCUCAACGAUCACACAAGAAACACAUUUGGUUAACUUAUUUAUUUAUUGUAAAUGUUCUUCAAUUUUUCACUUUGUAAUAGUUAGUGUUUGUAGGUUUUAGAAUUGAACUAGUGAAGGUGCCCACACGAUGCUGCAGGUUGUAAAAUCGUAUAAAACAUGUAUGUUGCAGGUUGUAAAAUCAUAUAAAACAUGUAGACAGUUCUAAAUAUAUGUACGAUGGACAAUACUAAUUUUUUUUUUUUUAAUAAACAAUAUUAUCUGCACUAAGGAGGAGGGGGUAGGCUUAGCCUUACAAUGGGCUAGCAAUAAUGUGGUUCAAAUUCGCCUUUGGAGGGAAUCGAACCUAAGAUCACUCACUUACAAGUGAAGAGGAAUACCGCUAGACCGUAGUACUAAUGGCGUGUUUACCAAUCGGGAUUGCAACGUGAAGAAACGGAAUUGGAUUCUUCCCAAAGUAUUCUGGCGUUUACCAACAACUGGGGAAUCAUAAAUCAUGUAGGGCCCACCCAAUAUCGGGAGUCCAGUUCCUUAAUAUCCCGGAAUUGGAUUACCUCUAUAGAGGUAGUAAUUGGACUCCGGGUAGGAGGAUACAUCAGGAAUCAAAAUACCCAAAAUACCCAUUUACUUUUUUACCCAAAAUACCCAUUUACUUUUUCUGAUAUUCCUAAAAAUACCUCCCACCUUUAGCCCUCCCUCCCCUCCGUAUGUUUGUGAUCUGCAGUGUGUUUGUGGCCUCAUGUGUCCUCCUGAGAUUGGAUGGGGGUUCUAGAUAAACACCCCAGUUGCUGGGUGGGGGUUUUGGAUACUGUAGACUAAGGGUUCUGUAAUUACAACAACAACAACAACAACAACAAAGCCUUUUCCCACUAAGUGGGGUCGGCUAUAUGAAUCCUAGAACACCAUUGCGCUCGGUUUUGUGUCAUGUCCUCCGUUAGAUCCAAGUACUCUAAGUCUUUUCUUAGAGUCUCUUCCAAAGUUUUCCUAGGUAUUCCUCUACCCCUUCGGCCCUGAACCUCUGUCCAGUAGUGACAUCUUCGAACCGGAGUGUCAGUGGCUUUCUUUGCACAUGUCCAAAUCACCGGAACCGAUUUUCUCUCAUCUUUCCUUCAAUUUCGGCUACUCCUACUUUACCUCGGAUAUCCUCAUUCCCAAUCUUAUCCUUUCUCGUGUGCCCACACAUCCCACGAAGCAUCCUCAUCUUCGCCACACCCAUUUUUGUACGUGUUGAUGCUUCACCGCCCAACAUUCUGUGUCAUACAACAUCGCUGGCCUUAUUGCCGUCCUAUAAAAUUUUCCCUUGAGCUUCAGUGACCUAUGACUGUCACACAACACGCCGGAUGCACUCUUACACUUCAUCCAUCCAACUUGUAUUCUAUGGUUGAGAUCUCUAUCUAAUUCUCCGUUCUCUUGCACGAUAGAUCUUAGGUAGCAAAAACGGUCGCUUUUUGUGAUCUUCGCUAGAUUGCUCCGGUCAUUAGUAUGGAUAAGUAUAUAAAUGGAUAGAUAGGAAAGCGAACACAAGAUGUACGUGGUUCACCCAGAUUGGCUACGUCCACGGAAUAGAGGAGUUCUCAUUAAUUGUGAAGGGUUUACACAAGUACAUAGGUUCAAGCUCUCCUUUAGUGAGUACAAGUGAAUGAUUUAGUACAAAAGACAUUAGGAAAUAUUGUGGGAGAAUGAUCUCGUAAUCACGAAACUUCUAAGUAUCGGAGUGUGGUAUCGUCUUGACGUGCCUUAUCUGUCUCAUAGGUAGAUGGGGCAUCUUCUCUGGAAGUACUCUUCCUCCAUCCCGGGGUGGUAUCUUUAACUGGUGGAGAUGCACAAGGUAAUGUAUCAAUUUCACUUGAAGCUUACUUGUAGUUUCAGGCUUGGUCAAGCGCGAUACAAACCAUGUAGUAGGAGUCCCCCAAGUCGCCGAGCUAGGGGAUCUGCUGAAAGAGGUGACAGACAAGGUAAGCAAUCAUAGCUUCGGCUGAUUGUUCACAGUCUCCCUAUCUUGCAGGCAGCAUGAAGGAUAAAGAGAAGAAAAUGAGAAGAUAUGAUAUGGGAUACUUUUGCUUUUGAAGAAGUAACUUUCCACAGGCUUAUUCUUGAACUGAGCUGGAGGGUUUUCUGGUUUCCUCCAGAGUAUAAGGCCGACUGAAGAAUUUGAGGGUCAAAACAAGUCCAUCAAAUCUAGAGUACGUUCGACCCUGCUGAUAUGGGAUACUUUUGCUUUGACAGAGUAAUGGAUGUAUCGGCACGUGUGCUGUUACGCUUGUCUCCACAUGCUUCCUUGUAUCCUUCUCCCUUGCCCUAUCUGUUCCUCAGGCAGAUGCGGUAUCUUCCCUGGAAGCAUAAGAUGUUGAAGAUGAGUACUCGAGAGUAAUGUCAGGUAAGUAAUCAGGUAAGGGGUUCCAGGCAGUCAGUUCCUGGCUGGAAGCUUGAUUCCAAGUACUGACUGAUUGCUCUCUUUCUCCUUGUCUUGCAGGUAAGAACAAGGUCUAAGGAAAAGACAGGGAAAAAGCAUGAUAUGGGAUACUCUUGCUUUUAACCCUGAUGAUAUGAGAUAUUCUUGCUCUAGUAUAGCUUGUUUGCAGAGGGAUUAUCGGGGGGAAAGAAAGCUGAAUAUUUCGAAAGGCUUCGUUGGGAGUGCCCUCUCAGAUAUGAGGAAUGGUUGAGCAUUUUUGCAGGUCUGCAUGUCCGUUGGGGAUGGAGGUCGACAUAUAUAGGAGUCUCCUUAACAACAAGUAGUAAUGCUAUUCCUUUACCCUACUUGGUCAUAGCACGGUAGUGGGAGCUAUCAGCUUCACAUGUUUUAACGCUGUCAGAGCACUUUGAAAAAGUGAUUUGUGGUAUCUGGAAAGCUGAUGUUGCGUGUGAAGAUUACAGACAGCUUUAUCCAAGGAGAUCCGGCUCUUGAAGUUGGGAAAGUGUUGCCUCUUCGGUUUUCGAACAAGCAAUCCUAUCGGGGAUCUGGCUCUCGAGAUUCAGAGAACGAUGCCUCUUCGAUUUUUGAGAAAGCAAUCAUGCUGGGGGUCUGGCUCUCGAGAUUCGGAGAGCGGUGUCUCUUCGAUUUUUGAGAAAGUAAUCAUGUUGGGAGUCUGGCUCUCGAGAUUCGGAGGGCGGUGCCUCUUCGAUUUUGGAGCAAGCAAUCUUGUUGGGAGUGUUUUCUCGAAUGUGAGUAAAGGUUGGGCAUGUUUGCUAGUCUACCUUGCCACGAAGCACAGAGGUUAACACACAGGAACUUUCCAAUUAUCCAGCAAUGGUACUGUUCCUUUACCCUCUUCGAUUUUUGAGAAAGUAGUCAUGUUGGGAGUCUGGCUCUCGAGAUUCGGAGGACGGUGCUUCUUCGAUUUUGGAGCAAGCAAUCUUGUUGGGAGUGUUUUCUCGAAUGUGAUUAAAGGUUGGGCAUGUUUGCUAGUCUACCUUGCCAUGAAGCACAGAGGUUGACACACAGGGACUUUCCAAUUAUCCAGCAGUGGUACUGUUCCUUUACCCUUAUGGGUAAUAAUAUGGUAGCUAGACCUUCAAAAUUUAUGUGUCUAAACUUUGUUAGUGUUGUUUCUUUGCUAUUCUUUUACCCUUCUUGGUCAGAGCGAUGUAGUGGGAGCUGCAAGCUUCACGUGUUCAACUUUGGGUUAUCUGUGGUAUCCAUGAGCUACUGUUGCGUGUGGGAUGAUUGAACAGUAAAACUCAUGUGCUUUCUACUUCACCAGAAGUCUUCGACAGAAUGCCCAUAAUUUCCGCAAAGCUGAGUGUGCGUGUGACAGGUGCUGACAAGGCUGGAAAAGUAGGUGCCUCGUCGAUUUCUGAGAUCGACCCUCGUGGUCUCUGAGCAGCCCAGCUUUUGAGAAAGCAAGCGCCUCUUCGAUUUCUGAGAUCGGCCUUCGUGGUCUUUGCGCAGCCCAGCUUUUGAGAAAGCAAACGCCUCUUCGAUUUCUGAGAUCGACCCUCGUGGUAUCUGAGCAGCCCUUGCUUUUGAGAAAGCAAACGCCUCUUCGAUUUCUGAGCAGUCGCCUCUUCGAUUUCUAAAGCUCCGUCGAGUGCAGAUUUUUAUAGGGGCUGGCAUUAAGUUCCAAAGCACACUUGAAUCUCCACCAGUAGAAGCUCCAUUCUUGCACUUCUAAGAUCUUGAUUUGUCCGACCUCUUCUCUCUUCAACACCUUUGAAAAUGUCUGGCCCCUCCGACCGUCGUUUUGACUUGAACCUUGUUGAAGAGGCAGCCCCGCCUUCUCCAGACAACAUAUGGCGCCCAUCAUUCGUCUCCCCUACUGGUCCUCUUACCGUUGGGGAUUCCGUGAUGAAGAAUGAUAUGACCGCUGCGGUGGUGGCCAGGAACCUUCUCACUCCCAAAGAUAACAGACUACUUUCCAAACGGUCUGAUGAGUUAGCUGUUAAGGAUUCUCUGGCUCUCAGUGUUCAGUGUGCAGGUUCUGUGUCUAAUAUGGCCCAACGCCUAUUUGCUCGAACCCGCCAAGUUGAAUCAUUGGCGGCUGAAGUGAUGAGUCUCAAACAGGAGAUUAGAGGGCUCAAGCAUGAGAAUAAACAGUUGCACCGGCUCGCACAUGACUAUGCUACAAACAUGAAGAGGAAGCUUGACCAGAUGAAGGAAUCUGAUGGUCAGGUUUUACUUGAUCAUCAGAGAUUUGUGGGUUUGUUCCAAAGGCAUUUAUUGCCUUCGUCUUCUGGGGCUGUACCGCGUAAUGAAGCUCCAAAUGAUCAACCUCUGAUGCCUCCUCCUUCUAGGGUUCUGUCCAGUACUGAGGCUCCGAAUGAUCCCCCUCCGGUGCCUUCUCUUUCUGGGGCUCUACCGACUGCUGAGACUUCUCCUAAGCAACCUUUGUGAAGGCUCCCUCUUGUUUGUUUAUUUUGACUCAUGUAUAUGUACAUAUUUGUAGCUUAUCGGGGAUAUCAAUAAAUAAGCUUUCCUUCAUUUCAACGUAUUGUGUUAAAUACACCAAAGCCUUCUUCGCUAAGUUCUUUGAAUUUUCUUUUGUUGAAGCUUUGUGAGUGUAGCAUGUAGGUUGAGGGUAGUGUUCCCUUAAUUUCCUGAGUGAGGAAAACUUCUCGGUUGGAGACUUGGAAAAUCCAAGUCACUGAGUGGGAUCGGCUAUAUGAAUCUUAGAACGCCAUUGUGCUCGGUCCUGUGUCAUGUCCUUCGUUAGAUCCAAGUACUCUAAGUCUUUUCUUAGAGUCUCUUCCAAAGUUUUCCUAGGUCUUCCUCUACCCCUUCGGCCCUGAACCUCUGUCCCAUAGUCGCAUCUUCUAAUCGGAGCGUCAGUAGGCCUUCUUUGCACAUGUCCAAACCACCGUAACCGAUUUUCUCUCAUCUUUCCUUCAAUUUCGGCUACUCCUACUUUACCCCGGAUAUCCUCAUUCCUAAUCUUAUCCUUUCUCGUGUGCCCACACAUCCAACGAAGCAUCCUCAUCUCCGCUACACCCAUUUUGUGUACGUGUUGAUGCUUCACCGCCCAACAUUCUGUGCCAUACAGCAUCGCCGGCCUUAUUGCCGUCCUAUAAAAUUUUCCCUUGAGCUUCAGUGGCAUACGGCGGUCACACAACACGCCGGAUGCACUCUUCCACUUCAUCCAUCCAGCUUGUAUUCUAUGGUUGAGAUCUCCAUCUAAUUCUCCGUUCUUUUGCAAGAUAGAUCCUAGGUAACGAAAACGGUCGCUCUUUGGUAUUUCUUGAUCUCCGAUCCUCACCCCUAACUCGUUUUGGCCUCCAUUUGCACUGAACUUGCACUCCAUAUAUUCUGUCUUUGAUCGGCUUAGGCGAAGACCUUUAGAUUCCAACACUCUUCUCUCCAAAGGUUAAGCUUUGCAUUUACCCCUUCCUGAGUUUCAUCUAUCAACACUAUAUCGUCUGCAAAAAGCAUACACCAAGGAAUAUCAUCUUGAAUAUGUCCUGUUAACUCAUCCAUUACCAACGCAAAAAAGGUAAGGACUUAAGGAUGAGCCUUGAUGUAAUCCUACAGUUAUGGGAAAGCUUUCGGUUUGUCCUUCAUGAGUUCUUACGGCAGUCUUUGCUCCUUCAUACAUAUCCUUUAUAGCUUGGAUAUAUGCUACUCGUACUCCUUUCUUCUCUAAAAUCCUCCAAAGAAUGUCUCUUGGGACCCUAUCAUACGCUUUUUCCAAAUCUAUAAAGACCAUGUGUAAAUCCUUUUUCCCAUCUCUAUAUCUUUCCAUCAAUCUUCGUAAGAGAUAGAUUGCCUCCAUGGUUGAGCGCCCUGGCAUGAACCCGAAUUGGUUGUCCGAAACCCGUGUCUCUUGCCUCAAUCUAUGCUCAAUGACUCUCUCCCAGAGCUUCAUUGUAUGACUCAUUAGCUUAAUACCCCUAUAGUUCAUGCAAUUUUGUACGUCGCCCUUAUUCUUGUAGAUAGGCACCAAAGUGCUCGUUCGCCACUCAUUUGGCAUCUUCUUCGUUUUCAAAAUCCUAUUGAAAAGGUCAGUGAGCCAUGUUAUACCUGUCUCUCCCAAAAACUUUCCACACUUCGAUUGGUAUAUCGUCUGGGCCUAUUGCUUUUUCUAUGCUUCAUCUUCUUCAAAGCUACAACCACUUCUUCCUUCCGGAUUCGACGAUAAAAAGAGUAGUUUCUACACUCUUCUGAGUUACUCAACUCCCCUAAAGAAGCACUCAUUUCAUGUCCUUCAUUGAAAAGAUUAUGAAAAUAACCUCUCCAUCUGUCUUUAACCGCGUUCUCUGUAGCAAGAACCUUUCCAUCCUCAUCCUUGAUGCACCUCACUUGGUUUAGGUCCCUUGUCUUCUUUUCCCUUGCUCUAGCUAGUUUAUAGAUAUCCAACUCUCCUUCUUUGGUAUCUAGUCGUUUAUACAUAUCGUCGUAAGCCGCUAACUUAGCUUCUCUCACAGCUUUCUUCGCCUCUUGCUUCGCUUUUCUAUACCUUUCACCAUUUUCAUCGGUCCUUAUCCUUGUAUAAGGCUUUACAACAUUCCUUCUUAGCCUUCACCUUUGUUUGUACCUCCUCAUUCCACCACCAAGAUUCCUUUUGGUGUGGGGCAAAGCCCUUGGACUCUCCUAAUACCUCUUUUGCUACUUUUCGGAUACAACUAGCCAUGGAAUCCCACAUUUGGCUAGCUUCCCCAUCUCUAUCCCACACACACUGGGUGAUUACUUUCUCUUUGAAAAUGGCUUGUUUUUCUUCUUUUAGAUUCCACCAUCUAGUCCUUGGGCACUUCCAAGUCUUGUUCUUUUGUCUCACUCUUUUGAUAUGUACAUCCAUCACCAACAAGCGAUGUUGAUUAGCCACGCUCUCUCCUGGUAUAACUUUGCAAUCCUUACAAGUUAUACGAUCCCCUUUCCUCAUUAGAAGAAAAUCUAUUUGUGUUUUUGACGACCACUCUUGUAGGUGAUCACAUGUUCUUCUCUCUUCUUAAAGAAGGUGUUGGCUAAGAAGAGAUCAUAUGCCAUUGCAAAAUCCAAAGAUAGCUUCCCCAUCCUCGUUUCUCUCCCCAAAACCAUGGCCACCAUGAAAACCUCCAUAGUUGCCUGUCUCCCUGCCCACGUGUCCAUUUAAAUCUCCUCCUAUAAAUAACUUCUCCGUCUGAGCAAGUUCCUUGCACCAAGUCUCCAAGGUCUUCCCAAAAUUUCUCCUUCGAACUCGUAUCCAACCCUACUUGAGGUGCGUACGCACUAAUCACAUUGAUAAGUUCUUGUCCUAUUACAAUCUUGAUUGCCAUGAUUCUAUCUCCUACCCUCUUGACAUCUACAACAUCUUGUGUCAAGGUCUUGUCCACGAUGAUGCCAACACCGUUUCUCGUUCUAUUUGUGCCCGAAUACCAAAGUUUAAACCCUGAGUUUUCUAGAUCCUUUGCCUUACUACCAACCCACUUAGUUUCUUGUAGACACAUAAUAUUUAUCCUUCUCCUCACCAUAACUUCCACUACUUCCAUAGAUUUUCCCGUUAAGGUUCCUAUAUUCCACGUUCCUAAACGCAUUUUGCUCUCUUGAACUCUACCCUUCUGUCCUAGCUUCUUCACCCUCCCCCGUCUAAUAGGAUCAAAGUACUUCUUUUGUGUGUCCCGUGUAAAGUUGAUAGUUCCUCUCCUAUUUGUUUUUUACGUUUUUGUUAUUUAUCCUAUUUGGUUUUUAUAAGGAAAACAAUCAAAUACAUUGAAAAAAUAAAAUAGCAAAAUUAAACACGCAUCAAUUAGCCUAGGGGCAUUUUAGUAAUGACAUUAGCUUUCAUUCCAAUUUAUGUGAGUUAGUAAACAGUUUAUGUAAUUCAACAACAUUUAUACUCCGAUUCCUGAUAUUUUUAGUAAACAGAUUCAACAGGAAUCCAAUUCUGAUUUCUCCUCAAUCCAAUUCCUCCUCAAUUUAAUUCCUCCUCAAUCAAAUUCAUCUAUUUUGAUUACGGUUACAUAAACGCACCAUAAGUGACGAUGGACAAUACUAUUGAUAAGGGGGAAUGAACUGCUUAUUGUAAAAAGUAUUUUAGCAACCUUUAUACAACAAAUUAGUUAACCAAUAAACUUUUCAAAAGUUGGUCUCAGUACAAAAGCAUGAUCUCACAUCCUAGUUGUUCAUCCCCAUAAAUGCUGUAAAAUAGCAAGACUUCCUUCUUUUAUUGCAUUUCAAAACUUCCUUCUUUCUCUUUUUUCUUCUUGUGUAGUUGUUUUCAUUGCUCUAUUACAAAUUGGAAGAAAUGGAAGUUGUCAACGUAAAUAAGUGACAGUUUUAAUAAAAAUGAGAAAACAAAAUAUAUGUAUGGUUUAAGAAUGAAAAUAAGUUUAAACCUCAAAGUACCGCUGUCUAUUCGAAUACUUAGGAAUCAAUCUGCUAAAUUAAAAUAAACCUCUAGUUUAUAGUACUAACCAAACAUUUUAUUUUGUCUACUUGCUUUCACUUUCAAUUCGGAUCAAAAUUAGGAGAGAGUUGUUAGGAUAAUGGUGAACGAAAUAGACUAUUUAAAGUUGAAUUCCUUCACUGCGGCCCGGGAAGGUGCAGUGGAAGAGAGAGAGACAAAGAGAGGAAAAGUGGAAAGAAACGAACACUAAAAGGUAAAGACUAUCCAUAAGAUUAUAACAAUGACUGUUUGGAUGUGACUAAGCUAUUCAACUAUCAAUAAUGUAUUAUUUUAGGUUGAAAUUUGGAAGCAUAUGAGAAGUAGCAUGGCAACAACCACAUAAUAAUUCCUUUCAAUAUAAGCCUGGUAUCCCGUCAUUUAAAGCCGCGUGGAGGUGGCCCGUGAAACCAUUGUGUGUGUCUACACCGCUGAAGCUCAAGAACACGUAAUUCCAAAGUUUUGACUUGGAGGAGGAUGAAGAUGAGGCUUCGUGGGCGGUCAUUGUAUUCACUAUUUAGCAGUGCAGUGGUUGUGAUUGUGUUUCUGUUCAGAUCAAGAUCCUUCGGUCAACAAAAACAAAAGUUUAUAAUAUAAUAAUGUUCGUAUAUGGACUUGAGAAACGACAUAUAGCCAGGCAGAAGGGACUAUCAAUAAUGCAUUAUUUUAUGCUUAGCAUUGUUUUAUGUUAAAAUUUUGAAGUAUUUGGGACGUAACGUGGCAACAACCACAUAAACAAAAGUGAUUAGAAAAAAAAUCCAAAUGUGGAAGAUAAUUAAAAACAAUUAUUCAAGAUAGGCGACAAAUGAUUAAGUCAUCUACUUCUAACUUAAGACAACAAUUUAUUGAAUCGUUAUAUUAACCAUUAAGUGGUGUUCUAUUAUAAUACACGUAAGUGGACCACUUUUAGGCUCCACUGCUAAAAACUAUUGCAAAAUGCGUUAUUUUAUGUUGGAAUUUGGAAGCAUUUGAGAAGUAGCAUGGCAACAACCACAUAAUAAGCAAAAGUGAUUAGAGAAAAGACCCAAAUAUAAAAGGAUAAUUAAAAGCAAUUAUUUAAGAGGGUGAUGAUGAGUCGAUAUUAUUAUAUAUUUUUGCCUUAAUUUUAGUUAUAAUAUAUUGGUUAUUUUGAGAAAAUUUAGAUACUUUACUCUAUAUUUCAACUGUAGGACAUGUGGAUCUACUUUGAGCAAAAAAACGAUGAAAUGAAGGAAUUUUGGAGUAAUUCCAAAUAGAGUGGAUUUGUGAGUUUUUGAAGAUGAUUGAGUCAAAUGGGGCAUUAGUUGAGUGUAAUAGAUUACUUGAGUUCAAUAAAUUAAUUUUCCUGGUGGUUUCUCCCUAAGCUUGGGCCAUCGUACUUCUUUCUAUGCGGAGCUCCAUGCUGUCAUCCUUGCUGUCGAAUUGGCCCACGCGCGGGGCUGGCAAAAUUUAUGGCUUGAAAGCGACUCUUCUAGUGUAAUAUCAUGUUUUGCUUCUGGAUCUUUCUCUCCCCCUUGGUCACUCCAGACACGCUGGAACAAUUGUACUCUCCAUUUGCAGAACAUGGUUUUUCGUUGCUCUCAUAUUUUUUGAGAAGGGAAUGUUGUUGCUGACAAAUUAGCCAAUUUAGGGCUUCUAUCAUCUUCACUUGUUUGGCAUUCCGCUCCCCCUAUAGAGAUCCUUCCUCCUCUGCACUCAGAUUUCUUGGGCAUGCCAACCUACAGGUUUGUCUCCUCUUCUUGAUGUGUGUUCUCCUUUCUUUUCCUAACCUUUUUGGAUUCCCUUUUGUUUUGCAGCUUGUCUUGCAGGUUAUUACCUUUUAGGUUUUUAGAGGGGUUUGGGCUUAUGUCCGCCCAGUCUUUUCCUUGUAUUUUCUUUUCCAAGAGGGGUACGGUCUAUGUCCCCCCCUCUUUUGUAUUUCCUUUCUCAAAAGGGGUAAGGUGCAUGUCCCCCCCUUUUUUGUAUUUCUUUUCUCUUGUUCUAUGAGGGGUUAGGUUUAUGUCCCCCCUGUCUAGGUGUAUCUUCUUUUUUCUUAUCAAUAAAUUUCCCUCGUACCGCCGAGGUUCUCCAAAAAAAAUAAAAAAAUAAAAAUUAAUUUUCCUAGAUUUUGUAAUAAAUUAAUUGGAGUGGAUUUGUGAGUCUUUGCUCAGGCCAAGAGAGUCAGGUGUGUGUCCGGAUGAAUGUGGCCUCAGCAAGUAGAUGAAUGAUCAGGAGACAAAGAAAUUGUUUGAUGCCACAAUUCUCUAUGAGAGUGUUGGAACUCUUUGUCAUUUUAAAUAUGCUUUUGGAGGCCUUGAGUAGACAUUUGCCUCUUUUAAACGAGUUAGUUGUUAGUGUCAAGCAUACCACUGUUGGUUUAGAUCAACAGAAAGAUUGUAAAAUGUUAUUGUUAGAUUGUGAACUUGCACCAUAAGUAAAUUGAGUUUUUUAAUCAAAGGACUUUGCCAUAGAUAUGUUAAAUCUAUGUUAAGUUCUUUUUUGUGCCUUGUUGUUAAGGACUUUGUAUAUACAAUUUUUUGUUAUACCAAGUUAUUAUCACAAACCGAUUGAAUAUUGGUAGUGGUUGCGCUGCAGCAAGUCAAGCUCCUUCAGUCAACAAAAACAAAAGUUUAUAAUAUAAUAAUGUUGGUGUAUGGACUUGAGAAACGAUAGCGUUUGUUGGGAAGAAGAGAAAAGAAAUGAACACGAAAGGACAAAGACUAUGCAAUAGAUUAUAACUUGACUUCUUGGCUGUGAUUACAACUAUUCACCUAAUUCAACUAUCAAUACGUAUAAAAUAUGAUAUGAUUAUAUAUGUAAGUAACGACCCUAAACCUUAUUGGAUCUAAUUAACUAAGGUAAUAAGUAAUCUUAUUAGACAGUUGGAUUCCUUAGCAAGUGGUUAACUAUGUUUUAAAGUUUAGAAGUAAGUAGUAAUUAAGUAGUUGUGAUUAAUAUCUUAAGAUUUUUUUCAUCAAUUGUAAUCUAUAUUCUUUUAACACUCAUCACUUGUUAGUAAUUUGUGCUUUGGCAAGUUUACUGCAGGAUGGAUUAAGGGGAGAGGCUUCUUUUAGAUAUUUUGUAUGAAAUAUUGGAGAGAUAUAUUUGUGGAGUAAAAAAUAUUCAAAAAGGUUCUGGAGCUGACACAUGACUUUUAAUCACAAUUAAUUAGAAUGCCUCUUAUUAAUUUGGCAAGGUUCACAUCCGUUCCACGUACAGUUUAACCACUACUAAUGUUGUAUUAAGUUUAGUUUUAUGUCACGUAGUUGCGGGGAAGGGGUCAAGAGGAGGCCGAUGUUUUUACACUUGGAUUUGUUCACUGAUUAUUUCUAGUGGUGCAUAUAUAGUUGAAGAUGGGGCAGGUGUAAGGUGGCACAAUAAAACUAGAAUCAUUUCAAUCAAGGAAAAGCAAACUUCUGCUAAUUUUUUUCUAUAUCAACGAUCACACAAGAAAUGCAUUUAGUUAACUUAUUUAGUUAUUUAUUUAUUAUAAAUGUUCAACAUUUUUUUACUUUGUAAUAGUUAGUGUUUCUUGGUUUUUGAAUUGAACUAGCGAGGGUGCCCGGGUGCUGAUGCAUGUUAUAAAAUCGUAUAAAAACAUGUAGAAAGUUUUAAAUAUAUGUGAUAGACAAUACCAUUUACAUACACGUGAAAAUCUAUUUACAACCCUAUUUACAAUAAUAAAAAAGAAAAGAAAGUAGGUGUCUAAGAGGGGAAUGAACUGCUUAUUGUAAAAAGUAUUUUAGCAACCCUUAUACAACAGAUUAGUUAACCAAUCAACUUUUCAAAAAUUAGUCUCAGUAUAAAAGCAUGUGAUCUCACAUCCCUGGUUGCUCAUCCCCAAGUGGAAGGGUGUUCUCUAGCCAGACCUUAGAGAGAAACGAGUGAGUUUCUUCAACCUCGCUAUGGAAGCUGGUACUUGUUUUAUGGAUGUAUUCUCUGCUUCAAGUAUUCUCAAUGAUACCAUCUCCCCUAAAUCCUCAUGCAGUUCUCUCAAUUUUGAACAUCCAUUAAGACAAAGAAUCUCAACAGAUUUGGACUUAAAGAAAUCCCUCGGAAGAGAACUAAGACUGCAACAGUUUCUAAGGUUUACCAAAGAGAGUCUUUUAAGAUGACCAAUGGAGGGGUGAAUCUCAGACAAACUCUCACAGCCUUCCAUUAUCAACUCUUCAAGAUUUGGGACUUGUGAAAAGUCUGGUGAUUCUUCCAAGUCAAGGGAAUGACUGAGAUUAAUGAUUUUCAACUUUUGAAGCGACUGUUGCAGAAAACGAAAGGAAAUUGAAAUUAAUAUCCAAAAGGAAGAUCUCAUAAAAAAAUUUAAAAAUAAUAAUAAUAAAGGAAAUCCAUAAAAGAAUAGUAGAAACAGAACAUCAUCAUUUGUAAUUGAUUGUACCUUGGAGCCCUCCCAAACUUGUACAAGAUUGCUUGACUGCAUGUCUAAAACAACUAGCUUCGGUUGAUUAAAAAAGUCAUCUGGUAUGGACUGCAAAAGGAAUCCACGCCAGCACAACCAUAUUAACUCUUUGGGAAGAUGUUUGUAUUCUCCAGUGAACUGAACGUAUCUGAGGUGAAGCAAUCUCAGUUUCUUCAUACUGGCAAAUGCUUCUGUACUGAAACUAGGCAUGUCACAGGUUUGAAACCAAUGAUCAGAGAAAUCCAGAGCAAGUCCUUCAACUUCUCCAGUUCCCUGUUUAAAUGUAUUAUUAUUCAUUAGGCAAAAUCACGUAUGGUGAAUAUAAAUAUAUAUAUAUAUAUAUGCAGGUACUAUUGUUGGCUAAUUGAGCCCUCCUUGUGCAACCGCAUAUAUUUACACAUGAAUGUUGUUAAAUGUAUAAUAGAGAUAUGUGGGUUACAUGUAUGAUUUUCUAUGAUGAAUUAAUCCAAAAUUUAAUUGGGAAUGUACUUACAGAUUUAUUUGUUAAUACAUCGGUGAUCUCUUGAGGAUUCCACAACCUACUCCAUUUUCCAGGGUAACCCGGGAAUUUUUCAGAAAUGAUUACUCUGGCCAUUUCUUGAACCAAAUCAUGCAUAUUCAACUCGUUGUGUUCAACGGUUACAAGACCUCGUUCACGGAGGACCCUGAUUCCUGUUGUUGCAAAAAAUCCACAUCCAUCUAAUACUUUUGUGACAUAGUCCUUGUCCCAUCCAAUAAAGAAACAAGAUAUGUCAAGAAAUAUAGCCUUCUGUGUAUCAUCUAGCCCUUCGAUGCUUAAUCUGAAUUGUUUUUUUAUUUCUUCACCUGGAGAUCUUUCUAAUUUCUCCAAUUCAUUUUUCCACUCUGCUAUGGCUCUUUUAAACAAGAAAGAACCUAAAACUGUAAGGGUUAGUGGCAAACCUCCACAGUAAGAAACCACCUUUCUUGAGAGUUCAAGAUAUCCUUCAGGAGGCCUACUAUUUCCAAAGGCAUGCCAGCUAAAAAGCUCCAGAGCUUCAUCUUCAUUCAUUUCCUGAAGCAGAUAUGUCUUGUCCACAUUCUUUAGUAAAUGUUUAUAUCUUGUCGUUAUGAUAAUUCUACUUCCUGGACCAAACCAAUCGCGAUUUCCAGCUAUUGCAUUCAGUUGUUCCACUUCAUCUAUGUCGUCCAUGAUGACAAGUACCUUUCUAUGUCGAAAUCCUUGUUUUAUCAGACUGGUACCUUCAGCAACACUGCUUACAUGAGAAUUCUGUUUCAAGAUGUUAGAAACUAGUGUUUUUUGCAAAUAAACCAGACCAUGUUUACUUGUAUUGUCCCUAAUAUCGGCAAGGAAACUUUUGAAUUGGAACAUAGGAUGAAUUUCGUUAUAAAUGGCUUUGGCAACUGUUGUUUUACCCAAUCCACCCUUUCCCCAAAUUCCAACCAUGACAACAUCAUCUAAUCCACCACUUGAAAGAUAAGUGAUAAUAUCUUGAAUCUGAGAAUUGAUUCCAACUUGGUGUUUGGCCACAUGUAAUUUUUCUGUGCUCAGAAGCCAAUUCGUAAUAAUAUUGUCAACAAUUUCUCUAAUAAGCAUUGCUUCACGCCUGAAAAUUGAAUUUGUAAGCAUUAGUGAGACUCAAUGAAGGCUCAGUAGGAGUUAUCAGUACAUAAACAAUUUCAUUUCCAUCUUUCCUUCAUAUAUGUAGUUGUAUACUAACAAGCUAGUAUGUGAUUUUGUGACAAACCUGACUAAAAGAAACAAAGUCAUUCAUUGACAUAUAAAAGUUAGGUGUAUUAAAUAAACUCCAAUUACGGUUUAGGUUUUUUAUCAGAGAUUAAGGUGUAUAAAUUAAUUAAUCAUGUUAAUUAGAGUAAUACAACUUAAAUCAUGAAGAGCAGCUGAAUGAUUACCCAGUGUCAGUGAUUUGAAAAUGGUGACCAGAUAAAUUUGCAGCUUCUGUAAGAGCGUUUCUCCACUGCCUUACCCUUUCUCGUUUAGCUUCACGUUUCUUGUCAUCUUUUUCUUCAAGGAUGACCUCUUCGUGCUUCUGAAAUGCUUGGGCUAAAUCUCCCUUUUGAUUCCUGACAUCGGAAGGAUCAACAUAAUAGAAUAUUGGCAAAACAUGUCCCCCCAGAUUGGAUCUGCACUCCAUGAUCUUCACCAGCUCGUCAAGACACCAACUCGAAUCCGCAUAACUCUUUGAGAAGACAACAACAAAGAUCCUCGAAUCUUCGAUUACCCGGAACAGUGCAUUUCCUAUUUCUUCCCCUGUAUUUAAAUCGUCCUCAUCGAUAAAAGCCCGGUAUCCUCUGUCUGUUAAUGCCGUGUGGAGGAGGCCUGCGAAGCCAUUGCGCGUGUCUACACCGCUAAAGCUCAAGAACAUGUCGUACUUCCAAAGUUUUGACAUGCGAGAAUUGAUUCCAACUUGGUGUUUGGCCACAUGUAAUUUUUCCGUGCUCGGAAGCCAAUUCGUAAUAAUCUUAUCAACAAUUUCUCUAAUAAGCUUUGCUUCGUGCCUGAAAAUUGAAUUCGUAAGCAUUAGUGAGACUCAAUGAAGGCUCAGUAGGAGCUAUCAGUACAUAAACAAUUUCAUUUCCUUCUUUCCUUCAUAUAUAUAGUUAUAUACUAACAACCUAGUAUGUGAUUUUGUAUCGAACCUGACUAAACGAAACAAAGUCAUUCAUUGACAUAUAAAAGUUAGGUGUAUUAAUUAAACUCCAAUUACGGUUUAGGUUUUUUAUGAGACAUUAAGGUGUAUAAAUUAAUUAAUCAUGUUAAUUAGAGUAAUACAACUUAAAUCAUGAAAAGCAGCUGAAUGAUUACCCAGUGCCAGUGAUUUGAAAAUGGUGACCAGACAAAUCUGCAGCUUCUGUAAGAGCGUUUCUCCACUGCCUUACCCUUUCUCGUUUAGCUUCACGUUCCUUGUCAUCUUUUUCUUCUCGGAUGACCUCUUCGUGCUUCUGAAAUGCUUGGGCUAAAUCUCCCUUUUGAUUCCUGACAUCGGAAGGAUCAACAUAAUAGAAUAUUGGCAAAACAUGUCCCCCCAGAUUGGAUCUGCACUCCAUGAUCUUCACCAGCUCGUCAAGACACCAACUCGAAUCCACAUAAUUCUUUGAGAAGACAACAACAAAGAUCCUCGACUCUUCCAUUACCCGGAACAGUGCAUUUCCUAUUUCUUCCCCUGUAUUUAGAUCGUCCUCAUCGAUAAAAGCCUGGUAUCCUCUGUCUGUUAAUGCCGCGUAGAGGUGGCCUGUGAAGCCACUGCGCGUGUCUACACCGCUAAAGCUCAAGAACACGUCGUACUUCCAAAGUUUUGACUUGGAGGAGGAUGAAGAUGAGGCUUCGUGGGCUGUCAUGGUGGUAACCACCGUUAUGGCUCUGCAGUGGUUCAGAUCACGACUGAAUAAAUCGUAGUGGUUGUGUUUGUGUUGCCGAACGGAUGAUACUGAAGCACCAAAGCCAAGUCAACCUUUCUUUAGUCCCCAAAAACAGAAGUUUUAAACAUAAUAUAACAAUGUUAGGAUAUGGACUUCAGAAACGACAUAGUGCCAGCCGGGAAGGUGCAGUGAAGGAGAAAGAGAGAGGAAAAGAGGAAAUAAGGGAACAGACAAAAGACUAUCCAGAAUAUUCUUAAUUUCAACUAUCAAUAAUGCAUUAUUUUAACAGAUUAUAACAAUGAGUCCUUUGGCCGUGAUUACAGCUAUUUAACUAACAAUAUGUAUAAAAAUAUGAUAUGGUUAUAUAUGCAAGUAAAACCCCAAAUUAAAAAAAAUAUAUAUAUAUAUAUAUAUGUGUGCGCGCGCAAGUAAGGACCCCAAAUCUUAUUGGAGCUAAUUAACUAAUGUAAUUAAUAAUCUUAUUAGACGGUUGGAUUCCUUAGCAAGUGGUUUAGGGCUGGGCACGGGCGGGCUGGGUUUAAAUUUGGAGAGACCGGACCGGACCUGUUUUAAAAUGUAACCGGGGGGCCGGUAUAAGAAAUUUGAACUUGGCUGGUUCGGAGCGGGUCAAUGGACCUUUUUUUUUUUUUUGGGAAUAAAAAAAGCAGUUUUAACAAUUUAUUACUCUUGCAGAAGAAACCUCCUUGAUUACAAAGUUUCGUUUCCAUAUAUAGCUAUAUAUAAGUAUAUUUACAGCCAUCUACCCUUACAUAUAUCGUUGGCCAGAAAAAACCAAAAUUACUGAUUGACGUUUAUGAUCUUUAAACGAAUUCAUGAUAUGGACUGAGAUUAAUCACCAAUUGAUUCAUGUAAACAUCUGCAAAGAGAUGCCAAACAAUAAGACAGCAUGAGGAGGGACUGGGAAGAGAAACCAUAUAGCUUUUUGGAAAUUCAAAACUUUGAGCCUUGUAAACAGAGUCUCCAAAUAUAGUCUUACAAAUAGUUUUCACUAUCAAUAAAAUACUCAGCUUACUUUCAAGGUUGUAGAUUCAAAGCAGAGAUUGCACAUUGCACAAGUUGCUGAACAAUAAAUAAAUUUCCAUUCGAAGCAGAUUGCACAUUGCACAGGUUGAAGAUCGUUGCAAGGUGUUGUACAUUUGUAGAUUUGGACAAUAAAUAAAUUCCUAUUCAAUGCUAUACAACAAGUAUGCAAGUUUGAACAAUACAUAAAUUCCCAAUUCAAAUUUCAAACAUUAUGGAAUGCCCAAUAGGUACGGUAUGAACAUUUAAAUCCCUAAAUUCCAAAUUCCCAAUUUCUACGAAGGAAAAUUUAUGGAUUGUGUUUGGGGCAUGAAGAACUGGUCAAUAGACUGAGAGAUUGUAGAAAACCCUAACUCUCAAAUCUGAAAAUUGAUCAGAGAGAUUCAGAGAUUGCAGAUAACCAUAAAUCCCUAAAUCCAAAAAAUUAACCAGAGAGUUAAAAAUUAGAGUUCCGAAAUUACAUUACCUUAAUUUGGAAGGAGAUGAGAUGAACGUGGUGGUCUCAAUUCGGAGAGAUGAUGGUGAUGGUGGUUGUUGAUGGUUACCGCCACUGACAUUUCGCCAGAAAGAGGGAGACGAAGACGAAGUCGAAGGCUGUGGAGUAACUGGAGUCUGAGAUGUUGGUUGUCGAUGGAUGGCUACUGUCGAGGACUUAACUAGAGCUCGAGUCCCCGCCCCGUUUUGUAUUUUGAAAUUGGGAGUUUUAACAAAAUAAUUUUGGUACCGUUCAUUUUUAAUGAAAAAUCAUAUUUAUAACAUUUCUCUGGUACUAUUCACUAUACAUUUAAAAAUGACUUUUCAUUAAAAAUGAAGUUUUUUUAAAUUUUUCGUUAGUUUCCCUUUUGAAAUUUUGUACACGUCCCGAUCUGCGGGUACCCGUCCUGACCCGCGGGUACAGAACCCGUUUAUCCUCCCCUUAAGUGGUUAACUAUUUUUUUUAGUUUACAAGUGAAGCCGUAAUUUAUUAGUUGUGAUUAGCAUCUUUUUAAGAUUUUUCUCAUCAAUUGUAAUCUAUAAUUUUGGAGGAGGACGAAAAGAAGGUUCCGUGGGCUGUCAAGGGGAUAUCCACCGUUAUGGCACUGCAAUGGUUUAGAAGCUCACCGGAGUUUCUAAAACUCGUUGGAAACACUGGGUUUUGGCUGAUUUUCUACACAUUUUUUCAAUCGUCAUAACUUUCUCAUUUCUCAACCAAAUUGAAUGAUCCAAGAAAGAAAAUCAUACCUCGAAACGAGACGAACAAAUUGAUACAUGUCAUAACGGUUAACCAGUCGAAGUUUGGCCGGAAAGUCGUGGACUUUACGAGCUUCAAUCCUGACGAUUGAGAAGGAAGUUCGAGGCGAGGCUGGGUGUUCUGGGCUCGUGAGGACGAGACAAAGCUGGUGGUCUCCUUGGUUUGGGCGGUGGUGGACGUAAACUAUGUGCACCGUGUAUGCACAGUGAGAGUGGAGAGAUAGUGGCACAAGCUGGCCUAGGCCCAAUGCGAGCUGGGUGAUUGUUCGGGGCCAUAAAAAAUUGGGGGCACCAAAGUUAUUAGAGUGAUAUAUUCAUAUAUGUUUUCGUAAGAGUAUAAAUUUAUAAAAUUUGUUUAAAUGACCAAGAAGUUAAACUAAACCAAUUGGUUUCUCUUCUUUAAAAUUAAGGAGGCCUCGGGUUCAAAACGUUAUAGCAUCUCCAAAUGAGACGUCAAAUUCAAAACAUCAAAUUUCAAUUUGAUUGCUGACUUGGCAAUUUAACAUAUUGUCGAUAUUUUUCUUCCACCCGAUAUGCCAAAAUUUAUUACUUUAUUUAUGUUUUUUUAUAACAAAAAUAAUAAAAGUUGGGUUGUUGUUGGUUUAAAAAUAAUAAAAAUAAUACUUAAAUAUGCAAGAUUUAACGUAAGGCAAGUGGAAUGCCUUUGGAAAUAGCAAAAAUCAUAUUUGAAGGCAGCUUCAAAUUUGAUAUCUCUUUGUCCAUGUCAACUUAGCCUUAUUUUUUAUGUAGCUUUGACAUCUCGGUUGGAGUAAACGGUAUGUCAUUUGUUAUUGUUAUAUGUCUAUGUGACAUUUUUAACAUCUCCUUUGGAGAUGGUCUUAUGUGUGUUUAUUAACUUUCCAAAUUUUACGAAUUCUUUUCACAAGAGUAUAGAUUUAUAAAAUUUGGUUAAAUGAUCAAGAAGUUUAACUAGAAGCGGUGGUUUAUGUUAUUUAAAAAUAACGAGAUGUUCUGAGUUCAAAACACUAUGUGUGUUUUUUUACUUUCCUGUUUUUAUGAAUUUCUUUUCAAAAGAGUAUAAAUUUAUAAAAUUUGAUUAAAUGAUCAAGAUUUUUGGUUAGAAGCAAUGAUUGUUAUUGUUUAAUAGUAAUGAAAGGUCUAGAGUUUGAAAUGCUAUGUGCUUUUUAUUCUUUCCAAUAGAAGGGAAAUGAAACUCAUCAUCUAUCUACUUGUAAGUCUGAAGUGUUUUUUUGUUUCAUUCUCUCAAUACAAUAUUUUUUUUUCUUAAUUAUUGAGUUUGAAGUACUUUUCUAAGUAUAAUUUUAUCGAAGUUUUACGUGUGAAAACAAAUCAUUUUUCUUCUAUGAAGUUAGGGCACAUUUUUUUGGGUCGCCCGACACCUCAAAAAUCCCAGAAUUGGCCUGAGAGUGCGUGAGGGAGUAGAGAGAUGUUUGCUCGGAAAAGGGAGAAAAGGAAGGAGAGAGGAAAUAAGAAAGAAGGAAAGGGAAACAAAGAGAGAGUUGUAUUAGUCCUCUGUUAUAUAACCUAAUAAAUAAUAUUAGAGAGACCAAAUUUUUCAAAAUGAUGUGAAGCAUUAAUUAACAUGCUUAUUUCCUAUCGAUGACACUUCAUAUAGUUUGCAAUUUUAAUUUAAAAUUUUAAUCUCCUUAAAAUUAUCCUAACAAAAAACGUGAAUUCCACAACAUGCGUAAUAAUUGGGAUUCCAUGUGCAAUCUCAUAAUUUUAACAUAUGGCUCCAACAGAGUUUGGUUGCUGGUUGAAUAAAAACAUCUAAAUAAUCGCUAGGCAGAAACAUUAUUAAUACCAAAGGGAAUAUUUUAGCUCAUCACAUUCGAGUGAUAGUGGUCUUCACUAUUUCAUUUAUUUAUCGUUGUUAGUUAAGUUUAAAUUUUGAGAUAUGUUUAAUGAAUAAACAUAAAUUUUUCAAAAUUUAAACUCAAAUAAUAAUAAUAAGUACAGUGGUCCACUACCACUUGAGACUAGUGGGUUUCACCACCACUUGAGUGGGUGAUGAUCAAAAAUACACUCACCCGAAAUAAUGUUCUUACAAAUUGUUUGUUUGUUAAUUGUUUGCGUCUUCAUCUUUGAAGCUCAAGAAGUCGUAAUUCCAAAAUUUUGACUUGGAGGAGAAUGAAAGGGAGGCUUUUUGUGGGCUGUCAUGGUGGUAUCCACCGUUAUGACACUGCAGUGGUUCAGAUCACGAUUGAGAAAAUGGCAAUGCUUGUGAUUGUGGUUGCGUUGCAGAACCAAUGAUGCUGAAAUAUACCUUAAACUAGGGGUGGGCACUUAGAACCGAAAACCGAAACCGAAACACGAAUCAAAUCGAACCGCACCGAACGGUUUGGUUUUGUGGUUUUGAAACGGUUUCGGUUUUGAAACCGAACCGCAAAAUAGAAAACGGUUUGGUUUUGGUUUUGGCUUUUGAAAACCGCACCGAAACCGAACCGCACCGCAAAUAUUAAUAAACAUUUAAUUAAAUGUCUAUAUUAGAUUUCAUGUUUUAAUUGGUUGUUUGUUAGAAUCCAUACACUUAGUAUGAGACUCAAAUACACUAGAAUAUCAUCAUUCAUCACCUUCUUUUGUUCAUUAACUUGAAGGACCUUUGUUAUUUUAUACCAUCACACACACACACACAUAUAUGUAAAAGGAUGGACUAAUCUUGUUAUCAAAAGUCGAACAAUGAUCUAAUGAAGUCCACUCAUUUGAAGCAUGAUAUCACAUAUUCUAGUAUCAAAGUUUUGCUCAUGUUUAAUGAAUUCAAAUUUAUUCAACUUGUUUUAUGAUAAACAUUGUUUUAACAUGUUUUAACAUCACAACUGCAUACAACAUGCUAAUUGUUUACAUAACAAAUGUCUUUUUCCUAUUGCUAUUGAAAAAUACUUAUUAAUAUGUUAAAUUGCAACUUGUACAUUUUUUCUUAAAAACCAAACCGAAACCGUUUGAAACCGCACCGAACCAAACCAAACGGUUUGGUUUCAUUUCGGUUUUGGCUUCAAAACCGCACCGAACCAAACCGUAAAAAAAAUCGGUUUCGGUUUCGGUUUCACUCAAAACCGUACCGAACCAAACCGUGUCCACCCCUACCUUAAACAAGUCAAAUCUCCUUCAGUCAACAAAAACAAAAGUCUUCCUCCACUUUAUUUCUUGUUUCGCGUGAAACGACAUCCAAACGCGAAAGAUCUUCAUGGUUUCGGCCCACCCAACAAGACCAACAUAUCGACCUAUAAGGCUACACAUGGGCCUGCCCUUGUUGAUUGUCCGUUAUGUUGUAGGUGUUAAUUUUGGGCCUUAGCCUUCAUUCUCACAAUAGAGGAACCAAUACCCUGUAUGACUUCGUGUCAUGAGCGGAAAUAUGGAUAAAUAUAGAUAAACCGAAUACAAAUUUUACAUGCCACUUAAUACUGCAGUUUAGUAGUAUUCUUUUUUAUUUGUAAAUGACAAGUAUUAGGUUCGAUAGUCAUCAAAGAAGAAUUUAAACACAUUAUUGCUAGCUCGUUAUGAAGUUAAACUCAUCAUCUCUCCUUAGUGUAGAUAAUUAUUUGUCAUAACGAAUAUAAAUGAACUUUACAUUAUCCACUUUGUACGAUUAUAUACACUUUUAUGUUCUAACACAAGAGUUUGAAAUAUCGAUCUUGGUCAGCCAAUUCAAUGGCGUGAAAUCGUAGUCUAAAUCAUAUGGCUCUCGACAAAAGCAAAUCAUGUCAUGGGCCAUGCAAUUUGCUUAAUCAAAAACUAACAAUUGCACACAUGCUAUUUCAUUUCUUAGAAUUUUUAUUCUUGAUAUGUAGAGGGAGGAGAAGAGGAGGAUUUCGUUGACUUUGUUAUUUUUUUUAUUCUCAUUACGUUUUACUCUAGGGAUGUGCUAUCCACACACCCCUUUUUACUUCUCACACACCCCUUGUUAAUUUCUGUCCGUUGAUCUUCUUCAAUUCAUCCGAUCCGACGGCCGAAAACUAAAAAGGUGUGGGAGAAGUAAAAAUGGGUGUAUGGAUAUCACACCCCUUACUCUAUCAUGUAUUUUUUGUUCUUGAUGUUAUAUGGCAAUAGUGAGACUGUAGCUUCCAAUCUUAAAAUUUUGAUGGUUUACCUACAUUUGUAUUGGUUUGCUAAACAAGAGUUUUUCUCGUUAUGUUGUAAUAGAUACUUUUUUGUAUGGCCGAUAGAGUUUGUUACUGUUCCCUCGAUCAUGCUGACCCUGCUCUUAGUCAUAUUUAAUGGAUACAGCGUCUAAAUUAUUCCGGUGCUACACUAGCCCGAAUUGUCCAUGGUAGUAAGACUUUUUUAAGGCAAACUUUGUGGCUUUUUUUCUUCUUUUUUUCUCUUCUGUGGGAUAACCAACUUUUUUUUACAAGAAACAAUAGUGGUAUUUCAUUGAACUUCAAAAACAAUUACAGAGAUUAUCAAUCGGGUACAUCAGCUCAAGUAAGAAAUUGAUCUGGAAUAAAUUUGUACAAUGACACAAACUAUAGUAAAACCCCUACCCUACCUUACAAAAUGUCACCAAUACAAAUCUGUCACAAAAAUAUGAUAGACGCAACAAAUUUAUACGUGCAACCACAUAAGCCAUCAUACAAGUGCAAGACCAUAUAAAGUUAUCGCGGUAGAGUGUGAUCACAAUUGAACUGCAAUGCCUGGAAUUAAAGCUUAAAGUUUUGGGGAGACUGAGGUGAUCGGUAGUAAAAUAUUAUCCUCAAAACAUAGCUGGAGAGGGUUAGAUGUGGAUUUGCAUGGCUGUUUAAAUCAACUUUCUAUUCGACAAAUUGACAUUUGUUCUUUACUUGUAGGACAACUCACUCGGCAGCAGUUGGUGGCACCUAGGGGUGGGCACGGGUCGGGCAGGACCCAUUUUUGGAUGGACCGGACCAAACCUGGAUGCAAAGGAAACGGGCCGGGGAUAGCAGAUUCUAAUAUAGAAACCGAACAUAACCCAGCCCGGUUGAAACAGGCCAGUUCGGGUCGGGUCCAUGGGUUCUUGGUUUUUUUUUUUUUGUUAUGUAUAUAUUAUACAUAAAAAAAAAAAAAAAAAAAAAGAAGUAACAUUUACACAGAUUCAAAUUCAUUCCCAGGCCUCAGCAGAUUCACUCAUUCACAUUUGCACAGAUUUGCACAGAUUCAAAUUCAUUCCCAGCCCCAGCAGAUUCAAAUCCAAAUACAAAGUCCAACGUCGUUCCCAGCUCUCGUUUUACCCUAGAUAUACCACAAAGACUUGCAUCACUCCUGCUCCAUAUAAUUUUAAUAUUUUACUCUAAAAUUAAUCUCAUAAGAAAUGGCAAUGCUAAUACGGUAAUACCACUUAGGAGUUUGUCUUACAUGCCUAGUAUAACUCUGAAGGAAGUCCACCAAGGACUCUUCCACUAAGAGAAUAAGAUGCUUGCAAGUAAGAUUGUCUUUGACAAGAGAAGCCAAUUGCUCAACUGCUUAACCUGCAUUUCGGUAGCAUUCUAGUAUGAAAUAUCGAGAUUCAAACACGAACUCCAGCACUCAAAGCAUAUCAUAUGUAUACAAAUGACAGAUACAUUGACAGAUAAAUGUAAUUGGUAUAUCGUUAAGACCAUUCAACUCUUCUGGUCUUUGCUUUGUUAUUAUCUGGAACACAAUGCAUAAGCAUGCAAACCAUCAACAUUUGUAGGCAUGGCAUGAGUUUAAAGUACACCACAUCUAAGUGACUACUAAUAAUGACCUUAAAAGAUCUGUAUCACAUAUUCUUCGGCUUAAUUGACAGAAGAACCGGACAACCAAACACAGUAGCAGCUCUUUAAUCGGUGGAAGAAUGGAUCAAGGUACCUUGAAACAGCCGCUGCUACACCUGUAGCUACGAGUAUGCAGCCAACAAUCUGAUUGAGUGUGUUUGUUCUCCCCAAGAGAAAGGCAGAAAAACUCAUCUGCCACACCAAAAAGUCUGCACAAUGUGGAUACAGAGUAAAAGCUGAGAAGAGGAAUUUCCAAAUAUAGGCAUAAGAAGAAAAUAAAUUCAAAAUAAUAAACCCAACAGUUUCGAGUCACAAAGAUCAAAAUUCAGGGAGGGACUACUUGAAUCAAAGAUGAUCAAGUAAGAUCUCCAUGAAAUCAAAGAAUAUAAGCCUUUACUUGAAAUCAAUUUACAGUUUAUCGACAUUUUGUAAACAUAGGUGUGAACACGGAAAAUUCCUGAAACGAAAGAGACAAGAAACGACGUGCACAAACAAAUAUUUGUAUUUUUGAUUUUGGGUUACAAUCUCUCUCUAUUUUGAUCCUCUGAUUCGAUCUCCGUAAGGUGUGUAUUUGUGGAUGUGUGAUUGAUCCAAAGGGCCGUUGGGCUUGAUCUAAGGAUGAACGUUCUUCAAGGGCCGUGGACUUGAUCUUGAAGGUGGAUUUGAGCGGAUCUUCAAAGGGGCUUUUGGGCUUGAUCUUUGAAGAACAGUGAUGAACGGAUCUCCAAGGGCUUUUGGGCUUGAUCUUGAAGAACAGUGAUGAACGGAUCUUCAAGGGCUUUUGGGCUUGAUCUUGAAGAAACGGUUGGAUGUGUGGAUUUGUCGACGUUGUUGAUCCAAAGGGCCGUUGGGGCUUGAUCUUGAUUUGGUGGAUGAUUGUUGAUCCAAAUGGCCGUUGGGGCUUGAUCUUGGAUGAACUAUGAACGAGGAACGAAGAACACUUUCUUCAAGGGCCGUCGGGGCUUGAUCUUGAAUUGGUGGAUGAUUGUUGAUCCAAAGGCCGUCGGGGCUUGAUCUUGGAAGAACGAUGAACGAAGAACGAAGAAGGCUUUCUUGAUUCUUCGGGAACCUAGAUGCUUAAGAGCUUCGGAGUUUCAGAGCUUCAGAGCUUCAGAGCUUCAAGGUGUAAUAUGAAUUCGUUCCUUGUAAAUGAAUGAAAUGGGCUUGUAUUUAUAGAAUUUUCCAAGGCCUAACUUUGAAUAUAAUAUCCCAGAUGAAAUAAGUCGUUUCUGCUAGGUGUUGACACGUGUCCUGUUUGAUGACUUUUCCAACUUAUUUUGAUUUUUUGUUUAGACACACGCUACGUGUAAAAUUUAUGUAAUACAUGAGCGUUGAAACUUUGAUUUAUCGGUCAACAUUUAUUUACCGAAAUUUCGAUGUCUACAAAUGCCCCCACUUCAAGGCGCGUCGUAUACAUGUGCUUGUCACGUGUAGGAGAUGCGUUUUGAAGUCCCUUACUGUAGAUGUCGAUCCAAGGGCCGUCGAGGCUUGAUCUUGAAUUGGGCUGGAGAUUUCUUCAAGGGCCGUUGAGGCUUGAUCUUGAAUUGGGCUUUGAGAUUUCUUCAAUGGGCUUUUGAGGCUUGUUCUUGAACUUUUGUUUGAAAUUUCUUCAAGGGCCGUCGAGGCUUGAUCUUGAAGGUUGAAAUUGGACCACAAGGAGCUUCAUGUGGUGAAUGAUCUUUGGCUUUGGUAGUGGGUGAAUCGGCACGUAUUUUGUUGCGCUUGUUGACUUUCCACAACUUUGAUCUUGAACUGGGUUGGAGGAUUUUCUGGAUUCCUCCAAUUGUUGAUUUUCCACAGCUUAUUCUUGAACUAGGUUUUGAUUCAAGGGUGGUAGACAUUUAAUCUUGAAUCGGACUUGUGAUUUCCUCAAGGGCCGUCGAGGCUUGAUCUUGAAUUUGGUUGGAAACUUCUUCAAGGGUCGUUAGGGCUUGAUCCUUGAAGGUUGACUUGAACACAUGACAAGCAGGCACGAGGUGAAGGUGACGACUUAUUGCUCUGUUCAAUCUUUCUAAUUCACACCUGAGCAGUUUGGUCAACGGUAUGAUCUUCAAGAUUGAUGGGCUUUUCUUCCAGUUGGUGACUUGAUCUUUAAGGAUUUGAUUCAAGGGUGGUGAAUCGGCACGUGCAGCCUACAACGCCUAGUAAGUCGACCCAAGAAUUUGAGGGUCAAAACGAAUUUACCGUCAGAGUGAUUGCAACUUUGAUGAUAUGAGAUACUCUUGCUUUUGAAGAAGUAGCGGAUGACUCAGCACGUGCUUGGUUGCACUUGUCUCCACAUGCUUCAAGGUAUCAUCUUCAUUUCCUUUAUCUGUUCCUCAGGCAGAUGUGGCAUCUUCUCGAGUUCUUCAUCUCAGACUCUUUUUGCCGAGUUGACUGAGCAUGCUGCAUUCUUCUCUGCUUGUUUCUUCAGGCAGAUAUGGCAGCUUCUCGAGUUCUUCAGCUCGGACUCCUUCUGCUGAGUUGACUGUGCAGACUGCAUUCUUCUCUGCUUGUUCCUUCUGCACCUUGUCUCCACAUGCUGCAAGGUAUCAUUUUCACUUGCCUUAUCUGUUCUCCAGGCAGAUGUGGCAGCUUCUUUGGAAGUACAACGGCAGUGGGAGACGAGUACUCGAGAGCAGUGCUAGGUAGGCAAUCAAGGAAGGGUUCCAAGCAGUCGGUUCCUUACCCGAGUUUGAGUGGAAGUUCCGGCAUAUUGUUUUCUUUAUCCUUGUCUUUGUAGGUAGGAGCAAGGACAAAGGAAACGACAGGGAGAACGCAUGAUAUGAGAUACUCUUGCUUUCUACCCUGGUGAUAUGAGAUACUUUUGCUUUGAAGUUAUUGGCUUACAGAGGUACCCCAAGGAAUAAGGAACACUAAGGGACUCGAGAUGCUUCAUUGGGAAGGCAUUCUCGGAGAUGAAGAAAGGUUCUGUAUGUCUGCCUUGCUAUGGAAGGUGAAGGUGGACAGUUAUAGGAGGUCCCUUAAUACCUGUAGAGGUACUAUUCUUUCACUUGUGUCGGCAACUAACGCGUGAUUGAACAGUAAACUUUCACGUGCUUUCUCCUUCAUCGAAAAUCUUCGACAAAUUGCCCGUAAUUUACGCAAAGUUGAGUGUGCAUAUGACAGGUGAUGACGCGGCUGAAAAAGAUUGGCGCCUCUUCGAUAUCUGGGAUCGGCGCUUCGACAAAUUACCCGUGAUUUCCGCAAAGCUGAGUUUGCGUGUGAUGGGUGCCGACGCGUCUGGAAAAGACUGGUGUCUCUUCGAUAUCUGGGAUCGGCGCUUCGAUUUUUGAAUCGGCAUUUUCGAACUCUGAGCUCACCUCUUCGAUCUCUGAAAUCCCGUCGAGUGUUAAUUUUUUUAUAUAUAGAGGCACGCAGUUCGUUUCAAAGCACACUUGAAUUUUCGCUUGUAGAAACUCCCUUCUUGCACUUCUAAAGUCUUGAUUUGUCCGAUCUCUUCUUCCUUCAACACUUUGAAAAUGUCUGGACCCUCCGACCGUCGUUUUGAUUUGAACCUUGGUGAAGAGGUAGUCCCGUCUUCUCCAGAUAACAUAUGGCGCCCAUCCUUCAUAUCCCCUACUGGUCCUCUUACUGUUGGGGAUUCGGUGAUGAAGAAUGAUAUGACCGCUGCGGUGGUGGCCCGGAACCUUGUCACUCCCAAAGAUAACAGACUACUUUCCAGGCGGUCUGAUGAGUUGGUUGUUAAGGAGUCCCUGGCUCUUAGUGUGCAGUGCGUGCCAAUUUGCUCGAACCCGUCAAGUUGAAUCGUUGGCGGCUGAAGUGAUGAGUCUCAAACAGGAGAUUAGAGGGCUCAAGCAUGAGAAUAAACAGUUGCACAAGCUUGCACAUAACUAUGCCACAAACAUGAAGAGGAAAAUUGACCAGAUGCAGGAAUCUGAUGGUCAGAUUUUACUUGAUCAUCGGAGGUUUGUGGGUUUGUUCCAGCAGCAUUUACCUUCGUCUUCUGGGGCUGUACCGACUGCUGAGGCUUCAAACAGCCAACCUCUGACGCCUUCUCUUCCUGGAGCUCUGCCGAGUUGUGAGGCGCCACCUGAUCGUCCUUGAAUAUCCCCUGUUGUAAAUUUGAUUUGAUUUUUUUUUUUUUUUUUUUUUUUUUUAAGGUAUGCAUAAUGCAAAUUUGUGUAAAAUUUCCAGAAAAUAAAUAAAUAAAAUGGACUUUAUUUCUCUCGAUGCAUUUUUUUUUUUUUUUGUUGCUAUAUACAUACAUAUAUUAUGUACAUACACACCAUAUUAUCAUAACUUCAUUUUCUUUUCUUUUCUCCUUCUUUUUUUUUUUUUUUUUUUUUUUUUUUUAAAUAAAUAUAUAUAUAUAUAUAUAUUUUUUUUCUUUUUCUGCACACGGUGCCAGACGCACCAUGAAACCCUUUUUUUUUAUUUUUUGUAUUAUUUUCUGUUUCUUUAGUUGGUGCCCAUGCACCAUUCCCUUUUUUCACGUGGUGCCAGAUGCACCACCACCUUUUUUUUUUUUUUUUUUUUUUUUUUUUUUAUAAAUUUGGGUGAUGGGUAGAGGAACUUGCAGGGAGCGGACGAAGAGUUGGAGUUUGAGGAAGCGCUUCUCGGCCGGCUAGUCGUUUGACAGCGGUCUUUGAAGUUGUUGGCAGCUGCGAGGCAAGAGACGGAGGAGGUGGAGGUGAUUUUGACGUCGGAUCCAGCUAGAACCCAGAGCAUAGCCACUGAGCCCAACCACCGAACACAGCCGCCGCACACCCGUUGCAUUGCUACUGAGCACAGCCAUUGCGCAUCCGUUGCACUGCCACCGAGCACCGCCACUGAUCGAGCACAGCCACAGAGCACCGCUACUGAGCACAGGCACAUAGCACAGCCCACUCAUCCCUCGGCAGAGAUCCAAAGUAAGAAGAAAUUUCCAAAAACUGAGGAAAGUUCAUGUUCCUGUCCCAGCGAUGAUCCUUGUGCCAUGGGACCUGGUCCAGGCCGUAUAGGUUAGAUGGAGAGAAGGCAGGGAGGAGCCUGGUGGAUUUCAGAGUCGAGAUCGAAUUCAGACGGAGAAUGAGAGACUGAGACGACGAGAUCGAAGUCCUGAACGAAGUUCUAAACCCUGACCCAGAACCUGCAUACCGAUGAUGAUGAACCAGAACCUAAUUCCCAAAACCAAACAACCAGAACCCACAUCCUGCAGUAGAGACCAAUGUCGAGGAGCAGUCUGGGGACGCCAUCGUCGGGGAGAGGCUGUUUAAGGCACGAAGGGAAGGUAAUUUUGCUACUGUACGAAGGAGACCGCGCGAUCUCCUUGGUGAUAUCCCUUCACCGCUUGCAGACACAGGCACAAGCGACGACGUUUUUUACGGUGAGGCCCCUUGUCCUCGCUGGCCUCCACUCUCCGUAUGAUCUCACCGAGCAGCUCCGGGAGCAUAUCCGACCACGAAGACGACAACAGCGACGAAGAUGAGUCAGCACAGUUCGAGUCACGGACGACUCGGCGGUCGCCCCCACGGGCCUGAUCCUCGUCGCUGAGCUUCAAUUCCCUGAACGAUUUGGAGAAUUUCCAGGAGCGAAAGGCUUUCCGCAGCGACAUGGGUUCAGAUUUGGGGCUUUAGGGUUCCUGAUUCUUUGGAUUGUGUGCAUCUUCCAUCCAGCAGCUGCCAACCCUCCAUGAUGAUACUCACUGAUUGUUUCAUCAACAAGUAUUACAAGAUCUCGUGUUGAACCAGACAUACGGAUGCUCUGAGCUGCAGCAAUGGCUCCACAUGGGCAGAAUGUAGGAUUGUUGCAUAUGCUUCUCUGUGGGCUCUUUCCGAGUAAAAGCUUUCUUUAGCCGUGAGAGGAGUUUGAGAGUGGAGAAAGCAUGAGAAUGGGCUGUGACCCAUGGCAGAAACUCGUUGACGCAAACACAAAACUUCACUCCAUCUUGAACUGGUGUCUUCGGAUAAAAAAAAAAUGCCCAAUUCAAACCAAAAUGCCUCCAGUCCUGCCAAUGCAAGCCUUUUGUUCCUGAGGAGUUGGCCUGCCCCAGCUUAAGAAAAUCAUGCCUUGGUUGCGGUUGCGUCCAAGUCUGAAAUAUUAGUCGAAAUCUGAGGUAGUAGAUCACAAUUUCAGGGGCGGGAGAUUUGCCGAAAGACGGUUCCAGCCAGGACAGAGGUUUGACUCAGAGCGUUCAUCUCGGAGAUUGAAUCAAGAUGGUUACUCUGAACCCGUGAUGCGUCCUGAUGGAAGAUAUGAGAUUGUUCAUCGCGUGAGGCGUUUUGAUUCAGAUGGUGGUGUGCGUCAGUACCGUUAUGAUAAAGAUUGUUUUGCAUCUCACAACACGCAGAACUACGAUGAAUCUGACCAUAAGGCGGCCGAGAGUCCGGGAGAGCGAGAUUGGGCCUGGGUCGCAUUUCUUGUUGGGUGUCUUGAGCAAUCCCCUGCUUGCAGAUCUUCGCACACAUACUGGUCCGAUUCGAGUAGGGUCUUGAUGUCCGUUUUGUCUCGGGCCUUGAGGUCCACUUGUUGGGCUUGGGCCUUUGACGCCAUAGCCCGGAUGCAGACGUAACAAAACGACGCCGCCGCCGUUGAUCUCGACGACACCGCAGAAGCUAUGGCUCUCCGUAUCAACCUCGUCGCCAUUGUUGCGUCUCUGAGCUUUGACAACAUAUGUAGCAGCAACCAUUAAAAGGCUUCUCUGCUCAUUAACCAUCUGUUUUUUAGCCCUUCUGACGACAAUACCACAACCUAAUCUCAUCGAUGGCAGAAGGCAGAAAGGAGGUAGAAGACGAAGACUCCUUCUGUUUGAAAAGUAACUCACAGUUUUGGGCCGUUGAGUGCUUGUUGGGCUCACGGUCAUCCUCAAUAAUGCAGCCCACCAUUAUAUAUAUAUUUUUUUAUAAUACAUUAAUAACAUGUUUUUUUUUUUUUUUUUUUUUUUUUUUGUACAAAGAAAUUGUAAUAGCAUCAAAACUUUUAAUUAAAUCUUUAUUCCCUAUUUUGGUGUGACUGAACUCGAAAUUGAAUGCUCGAGCUGCCUACGUACCCUUCCAAAAAAGAGAUCAAGUCGUAACGUAGUUCAAAUACAUUUUUUUUUUUGUACUUUCUUUUGGUGUCGUUUGCAGUUUCAACUCGUGCAGACAAGGAGCUUUUGGUGCCGUGUUGCAGUUUCAGCUCGUGCAGGCAAUGAGCGUUUGGUGUCGUUUGCAGUUUCAACUCGUGCAGACAAGGAGCUUUUGGUGCCGUGUUGCAGUUUCAGCUCGUGCAGGCAAGGAGCGUUUGGUGUCGUUUGCAGUUUCAACUCGUGCAGACAAGGAGCAUUUGGUGUUGCCUUUUAUGCUUGUGCAGACCAGGAGCUUCGUGCCAUGCAGUUUAGACUCGUGUAGGCGAGGAGCCUUGGUUCGUGCAGUUUAGGCUCGUGCGAACAAGGAGCAUUGGUGUUGCCUUUUAUGCUCGUGCAGACCAGGAGCUUUGUGCCAUGCAGUUUAGACUCGUGCGGGCAAGGAGAAUUUGUGAAUUUUGUCAAGCAAUCCGGGAGAGGCGUUCCUCACAAUUUUCAUAGCAAGGAGCUUUGACCGCGUGAUUGAAAAAGUCUUCGGGCAGGAAAUCGCGCAUCGUGAUGGGGAUGGACGAUCUAUGUGUCGAAAUUUCAUCAUCUUCAACAAGUUCACGUUGCUUUGAAGGUUGACAAUAGCUGCUUUGCCCCCUUUCCGAUUGGCGGACUUGUGAAGGAGACGUAUGCUUCUUGUGCAAUUUCUUAGGAGUGACUUGAGUCCAUCCUUCAACUUUGCUUGUCUUUGAGGAUGCCCCCAGCGGUUGAGGUGAAAACUUUGAGUUGGAAGAGCCAAAAGUGAAGGUGGUAUAGUUUGACUUCGCCACUUCGUCAAGAUCUAGCUCGAUGAUUCCUUUAUGAGCCAGCUUCAUGAUGAGAUCUUUCAGCACGAAACAUUUUUCUGUCGGAUGACUGAUGAAGCGGUGGAAUUUACAGUACCUUGGAUUGUCGGUGCGAUUCAUCUCUUCCGGCCGUCUGCACUCAGGCAAACUGAUCACCUUCUUGUCCAACAGGUCAUCUAGCAUGGCAACCACAUCAGAGUCGGGGAAUGGAUAAGUCUUCUCCUCAAGCUCCUUCAAAGUGCGUCUACGCGUCUCUUGAUCACGAAAAGCUUCGGUUUGAAUCGCCUUGCCUCGUGUGGAUAUUUUGACAGGAGAUGUGUUGAUCAUCAUCGCUUCCUUGGUGGGUUUCCAAGCAGCCUUCUCCACCUUUGUCUCAAGAACUUUGUCGUUCUUGUAGUCGGCGAUCGGUUCCUUCUUCCCAUGAUGGGCGAUGCUCAACUCCAUGUCAUGGGCGCGGGUGGCUAGCUCUUCGAAGGUCCGUGGUUUGAUGCCUUGAAGGAUGUAUUGCAAACCCCAUUGCAUGCCUUGGAUGCACAUCUCGAUUGAAGAGGUUUCCGAGAGCCUGUCUUUACAGUCGAGGCUUAGAGUGCGCCACCUGUUGAUGUAGUCAAUGACUGGCUCGUCCUUCCACUGCUUUGUGCUCGUUAGCUCUAGCAUGCUCACAGUGCGGCGGGUGCUGUAAAAGCGGUUGAGGAAUUCCCUUUCCAACUGUUCCCAGCUGUUGAUGGACUCAGGCUCUAGGUCCGUGUACCACUCAAAGGCGUUUCCUUUCAGCGAGCGCACAAACUGCUUGGCGAGGUAGUGUCCUUCGGUUCCUGCGUUGUUGCAAGUUUCAACGAAGUGGGCAACGUGCUGUUUUGGGUUUCCCUUUCCAUCAAAUUGCAUGAACUUUGGUGGUUGAUAACCCCUUGGCAUCCUUAGGGCAUCAAUCUUCUUGGAAUAGGGCUUCGAGUAGAACAAUGAGGUAUGUGAGCUCCCUUCGUACUGUGUCUUGAUGGUAUUGGUGAUCAUCUCCUGUAGCUGCUGGAUAGAAAGAGAUCCCAUGAGUGCCGCUGCUUGGUCUGGCUCCGGCUUCCCAUCGAUUUUCUUCACCGGGGGUUCUUCGUCUCCGCCAGCUCCUCCCUUUAGUGGAUCAUCCUCUGGGUCGGGUUUAUCGCCAUCCUGCGCUUCCAGUCGGUUGACUAGUGCUGCAAUUUGCAAGUCUUUUUCUUCCACAGUUCGGGUUAGCCUUGCGAUUGCUUCAUUCAUUUGAGCCAGCUGCUCAUCGAUUGAAGUUGCUCCAAUGGUCAUGACUUGCAUGGCUGAACUAUCGCUUGAAUCGGCAUCGGAGAGCAUGGAUUCAGAGUAUUUCCUUGGGCUUUCCCCCCUUGGUGCCCUUAGUGAGGCUAAGGUGAUCAAAGGCUCGUGCCUUGGGUGCUUUUGUUCCCUUGGCAGAGUUGAUGCAGAGGUGAAAGAGGCGGCAGAAGUAGCUCUUGCCAUGCUUCGAGUCAUGAUGCCCAAAGUGACACCAGUUGCGACGAGGACGCUUUUGUUCUUUGCGCCGGUUGCGGGAACAGUUUGAGCCUUCCUUGAUGCCAUUAAUUUUGGAAGUGCGCUUGAAUUUCUUGAACGGAGAAAGAGAUGAGAGGUAGAGAUUGUCCCACUGGUCGUGCCAAUUUGUGAACACGGAAAAUUCCUGAAACGAAAGAGACAAGAAACGACGUGCACAAACAAAUAUUUGUAUUUUUGAUUUUGGGUUACAAUCUCUCUCUAUUUUGAUCCUCUGAUUCGAUCUCCGUAAGGUGUGUAUUUGUGGAUGUGUGAUUGAUCCAAAUGGCCGUUGGGCUUGAUCUAAGGAUGAACGUUCUUCAAGGGCCGUGGACUUGAUCUUGAAGGUGGAUUUGAGCGGAUCUUCAAAGGGGCUUUUGGGCUUGAUCUUUGAAGAACAGUGAUGAACGGAUCUCCAAGGGCUUUUGGGCUUGAUCUUGAAGAACAGUGAUGAACGGAUCUUCAAGGGCUUUUGGGCUUGAUCUUGAAGAAACGGUUGGAUGUGUGGAUUUGUCGACGUUGUUGAUCCAAAGGGCCGUUGGGGCUUGAUCUUGAUUUGGUGGAUGAUUGUUGAUCCAAAUGGCCGUUGGGGCUUGAUCUUGGAUGAACUAUGAACGAGGAACGAAGAACACUUUCUUCAAGGGCCGUCGGGGCUUGAUCUUGAAUUGGUGGAUGAUUGUUGAUCCAAAGGCCGUCGGGGCUUGAUCUUGGAAGAACGAUGAACGAAGAACGAAGAAGGCUUUCUUGAUUCUUCGGGAACCUAGAUGCUUAAGAGCUUCGGAGUUUCAGAGCUUCAGAGCUUCAGAGCUUCAAGGUGUAAUAUGAAUUCGUUCCUUGUAAAUGAAUGAAAUGGGCUUGUAUUUAUAGAAUUUUCCAAGGCCUAACUUUGAAUAUAAUAUCCCAGAUGAAAUAAGUCGUUUCUGCUAGGUGUUGACACGUGUCCUGUUUGAUGACUUUUCCAACUUAUUUUGAUUUUUUGUUUAGACACACGCUACGUGUAAAAUUUAUGUAAUACAUGAGCGUUGAAACUUUGAUUUAUCGGUCAACAUUUAUUUACCGAAAUUUCGAUGUCUACAAUAGGUUGGCAGUUGAAUUUUAUAAUUAAGGAAUUAAAAAGAUCCCAACACAAAUCCGAACUCUAAAAUCCCAAAUCCCACUCCCAUCCAAACAGGUCCACAAUUCCUUCACCCAAAUGUUCAUACAUUCAUCAAAUUACUCCCACCUAAAGAUUUAGUCUCUAAUCAAAUCCUAUUAUUCAUGCUAUUGCUAUUGAUCCUCCGCAUCAACAAAAAUAAAAUUCGGAGAAGUAGACUUACAGUAGCCGGCGAAGUAACGGAUGUCGUCGAGGUCGGAGGAUGGCUGGAUGGGUGGUGGUGGUGCCGUUGUGUUGGUUGUGGCAGUGGUGAUGGGCGUUCUCUGGGAUGUCGAAGUCGAGGGAGUCAAGGGAGUGACGGAUGGUGGAGAGGUGGGAGUGAAAGAGUGAGACUGAAACUGAUUCUGGAAACCUAGUUUAGAAGGUAACAGUUCAGAUUGGAUGAUAGGUUAUCAUUCAAUCUUGACCGUUGAUUAUAAUUAAAAACGGGUCGGUCCGGGGCCCUGUUUUUCUAAGGUUUAGAAACCAACCCGCCCCGUAAAUAACAAUGGCCCGGCCUGGCCCGUCCCAUUUGUUCCAAAAAAAAAUAGGACUCGGCCUAUACCCGUCCCAAACCUACAUUACCCGUCCCGACCCGCAGUUCCUUUACCCGUUUGCCCACCCCUGGUGGCAAUGGCUUUAAACCAUUUUUAAGUGAGUGUAGUGUGUAAUAUAUACAUUAUUUUUAUUAGUGGUGCUAUUUAUGCAUUUAUUUUUAUUUCUUAUAAGUUUUUUUUUAAUUAUUAACCAUCGAAUUAAAUGAAUUAAAGAAGAUCAAUAGCGAAAAACUAACAAAGUUGUGUGGGAAGUAAAAAUGAGUGUAUGAAUAACACUUUCCUUGAUAAAACCCUAAAGACAAUUUGGUCCGCUUCACAAAAUGAAAUUAUCAGUAGCAUACAAACCAAAUUUUGCUGUUUUUUUUUUUUUUUUUUUUUUUGUAGGCUUGAUCAUCAAGUUUCUCAAUUAAUUUCAUUUGUAAUCGGUUUGUGCUUUUUUGUAGGCUGAAGCCGUAGCUGAGGAGCUAUGUGAAUCAGUGGCAGCUAGUCUUGACGGUAAAAAGUUGCCAUGGUUCACGGCAAUAUCUUCUGCUGUGCAGGCAGCAAUGGAAGAAGCACUUGUUCGUAUUUUAACUCCUACUGUGGACUCUUCUCCUAUACUGAACCCGCGGAAGAAUCUGCCCAGGAAACCAUGUGUUUUCGCUUACAUUGACACCACAGGAGAUUGGAAAGCAACCAGUUCGGUUAAGGUAAUUAAGCUGAUUAAUUUAAUUCUUGUGCUUAAGUCAAGCAGGCCUCUAAUUUUACUAAAUGGUUCUGCUUAAUCAUAUAUUGUGAUCAAUUUGCUGCAGGCUGCUUGUCGGCUCCAGAAGGAACGGAAGAACAGCGUUAUUAUGGUGGCCGACCGUGAUACAUUCCGGUCAGACACUGUUAUGCAGUUGCGUAGAGAUGCAUGGAAACUCCAGGUACUGAACUAUACAGAUAGUUUCAAUUUAUAGGAUUCACGUUCACUUAAGAAGAUUAAAUUUUACAGAUGUGAGAUAGGUCAGUUUGUCAGGUAGUGUUCCGCCCCUGCAUCUAAGUUCGAACACCCUUACUUGUAAAUUCGAGUCGAUUAUUACUUACUGUCUCAGCCUGAUAAUUAACUUCCGAUUAUUAAGAAACCAAUUUUGCUCCAUGUCAGCGGAUUCCUAUUUUCGAGAUGCGGCAUGAGAAGGAUCCCACAAUUACCAUAAAGAAAGCAGUCCAGGAGGCCAGAGACGAUGGUUCGGAUGUGGUUGCUCAUGCAGCCAGUCCAAAGCAGGUAUAUCGCUUUUCCGAGUUUCUUCUUUUGCAUUACUGAUGAACUGCUAAACGGGUCGUGUUUGUCAUGUUCGUUCAUUUUUGUGUUAAAUACGUUAUCUUAAAAGAUUCUUAACAGGCGAUCAAAUAAUGACUUGAUUUGUUAAUGUGGUUUCGUGUUAAGUUAACGAGUCAUGCAAGAAAUUGUCAUACCUAAUGUCUUAUCGGUUAUUAACUAAUAACGACAUGACUGAUUAACUAAUUAUUAAUGGGUAACUUGAUAAUGACUUAACUCGUUAACAGAUUGACCCAACACAUGUAAUUUUCGUAUUGUAUCACUUCGUGUCGGUUUAAAGAAUGGUGUAAAAAAUUGUCAAGUCCUAUGAUUAUGCAUUGUGUGAAUUAAUGACUGAAUUUGACCAUGCCUUGGGUAGGCGGCAACUGUGCUGGCGACGGCGUACUUAUCCGGAGCUAAGGUCAUUUUACGUGGCGUUGGGAAGCCGUACACAGGAGAGAAGCACACAACCAGAAAGCUUGUCAAGAAACUCUUCAAAUGACACUCAACUGUGCUGGCUUCUUAAUUUCGUUAUAAUCACAGCAUAUAUGCUGUUAAUUAAUUUGUUUGUUGAUUAUGUAAUCUAGUAUCGUUAUCGUGUAUUUUCGAAACUUGAACGUGAAUUGAUGAAGUUGUUUUGGCACUAGUUUAAUGUCAAAUCUAAUUAAUUCUCUUUUGUUCUAGAGCUUCUCUUUCUCUACUGUAAUUAACUGAUGUAGAACAAAUGAUUGAGUGAAUUGAAGGCAAAAUGGACUGAAGAAAGACAAACUACAAUAAGUAAAAAAUAAUAAUAAAUGUUAGAGAGGUGGUACAAAUGGAAUUGAGAUUCUUUUCAGAUCUCAGGGUCUGAAGUCGACGGAUCAAAUAAUCUAGAUCACAUUUCAAAUCUUACAACUCUCACUAGUCUUUUUCAUUUGCUCACCUCACAAAAUUCAAGGGUUUGGAUCUUUCUCCGUCUUUUGAACAAUCUAGAUUACACAGUCCAUCAACUCCAAACUUCGAAAUCUGAAAAGAACCUACAAUAUGAUAUAUAAAAUAUAACUAGAGUAGCAUUUUUUAUAAUAUUUAUAUGAGCUCAAUUUUAAGGGAUCUCUAGAGUAGAGCCUAAAGCUUAGUUUAUUACAUAAUUUAUUCAUGAGAAAUUUAAAAAAUAAGAUAAAAUAAAAUAUAAAAAAAAUCUAAUCUCCGAUUCUUUUUACUUUUAUUAAAACCGUCGUCUAUAAAAUUUAAACUCAGAGCCUCCUGAAACUGAGACUCCAUCUCCAAAUAAAAGAUGACAAAUUCAAGUGCAGCAACAACACAGUACAUCUAAACAGCACUCACAAGUCUCAUAGCAGCAGAAACAAGAAGAAGCUGCAAACAAACUGCACCGAAAUUCACAGAUCACAAAACGAAAUUAAAAGGAUAAUCAAGUACAUAUAUAAGUAAAAACUGUAAAAAUUUCAAUCAUACUAACCAAGCAUAGAGGCACCCCUUCUCCUCGUGGCGCCGUCAAACGUGAUCAACCGGGGACAUUUCUUGGUAACCCGGUGGUGCAUACAUUUUCUCUUCUUCCUCCUCCCACCACAAAUUAAGAAAGAUAAAUAGACUGAGUGCUGAUUUUUCUGUGCAACUCUCUUCUUUUUUAGGCUUACAAAUUUGAUAGAAAUACUGAAUGAUAAAAGCUGUGUGUGAUUUGCAACCACUCAGAUUUGGUAUUAAAUGUAUCCACCAAUCAUUUUUAUGAGCUUCCAUUACAAAAUCAAUGGUUGACAGGUGGGUGAGGGAAUGAAGCUGAGAUUCUAUCCCACCACAGAAGUGGGCAGUCUAACUCUUUAUAAGUACAGACAAAAUCGCUUAAUCUUCGUUGUGUAAUUCACAUUCUCAACACACUCCCUUUUGUGUGGGGUCAUUUAAGCCUAGCACAUGACAGCACACUUGGGUAAAGUAGGAGCAAGCAAGAUGUGACUCAACACGUGAGUAACAUGCUCUGAAACCAUAAAAAAUGUUUAGGGAAAGUUAAGGUAAAUAAACCAAUUAGUAAUAUUGGACGUAGCCUAACUCUUUAUGAGGACAUGCAAAAUCCUUAAUUCGCUAAUGUGAAAUUUACAUUCUCAACAGCAUACAUAUAAACAUACAUACAUACAUGUUUACGUGCAUAUAUAUAUACAUGUAUAUAUAGGUGUGUAUAUACGUAUACACAUGUGGGUACAUACGUGCAGGCCAUGUGUGAUCACCGUCCAAAUGGAGAUGUGAAGUCAGAUUCCAAUGGCUUGAGUCAUGACACCAUCAUCAGGGCUUCCCGUGAUUCAUAUUCACAAGAAAUCACUGAUUUCUUUAUCAAUAUAAAGACGAGACUACCACAUCUUCUCUCUUUUUAUUCUUUCAUGUAUUACAAUUGUAUGAUUCUAACAUGGGUUAGUAGACAGAAAAAUAAGGGUAACGCAGUCCGACCACAUCAUCCACAAAGCACCUCUCAAAAUAUUAAGGGAUGCACCUCUCAAAAUAUUAAGGGAUGGCGUAUAAUUUGAUCUUACUCGAUUCCAUUGAUCUUCAACCGAUGCAGGAGUUGCCUAGUUAGACAAUCCUAUUGAAAUUUCGACCGUUUGUAUGUGAUCUCGUUCUAUGUAAAAGUUAUCCUAAUCAGUCAGCCCUACCAAAAUUUCUCAAGUAUGUAGAUAAACUCUUUUUAGCAGAAAAAUAACUUUAAACUCAAAAUUUAUCAACACAAGCGAGACCAAAACACCGACAUAAUAACACAAAUAAUGUGUAUAAUACGAGUCAAAAGUUGUUCCAAAAGUCAUCAUAUCAACAACAUUUAGAUUUAUGAACUUCACCUAGUACAUGUGAAUCCAUGCUAGCCAAGGUCAAACAUGUUUGUCCAAAAAACCCAAAAAUACCCAAAAAAAAAAAAAAUGAAAUGAGGAGGACAUUAAUUUAGCUAUACAAAUCCUUGACAUUGCAAAGCGGAUGGCUUUAAACAUGAUCACUAUCUACUCAACAGGGAGACAAGAAAAAAUACAACUUACAAAAGAUAGGCCAUAACAAACCAACCCUUCUGUAAAGAUACAAGAUGUGUCAACAAACAUAACACACGGCAAGCAAAACGGUCCUUUAACGAAUCUUCAGCGCAGCGGGAUCAUCUAUCAAUACAACUUAGAAGUACAACUCAGAAGUACAACAUCCAAGCACUAACACAAUCUGCACCGUUUGUUAUCUCUGGUCCAGUUCAGAACCAAAAUUUGAUACUCCAUUAGAGCUGUCAAACUAUGCAUGCCAAGUUCUGUUACUUAAGAAAUUAGCAGACAACAUGGUAAGCAGGAGGUUUUAUAGGAGAUAAAAAGUUACAGGCUACAGGUUGGACCCCGGCCGCAGUUUCCAAGCGUUCCCAUGUUAACCUUCGCUUCUCAGCUGCAGCGCUUGACCUUAGAUUUUCCUCCUCCAACUUACAUUGGCAGGCAAUUACCAGCUCCUCAUCCAUAUCGCAAAAUGUCUUCUUCAUAUUCAGGGUCAGGUUCAGCACCGCUUGAUUCCAGUGGUGUUGGGUGUUUCGCUCAAUAGCUGGGAAGACAAGCGGCAAGAUCACCUGGCGGUUAUGUGCGACAAGGUUAAGGAUGUGUUCAUUGUUCCACAGCAAGUGGGCUCGUUCAGCCACCUAAAACAAAAAAAUGUGUUAUUGUUUAGAAGCAUCAUCAGUUGAAUGAUCUAGAUCAUGCUAACGUAUAGUUCUUUACGAUCAAGCAAGCAAAUUUUCAGUCAAACAGGGGGUUCCAGUUUAUGCAGUAGAAUAUUACCUGGUAAUGAAAACUAUUAAGGCAGCAUCUUAUCCGCCGGAACAGGGGAACCAUGAUCCUUUGAAAUUCGUCCAUGCUAGUCAUUUCCAAAACCUCUUCUAACUCGCUUAAAAACAUCAACUCCUUCUGGCUAUUUGUUACAGGCCAGUACUUCAACAAGCCCUUUAUUACAGUACUCGCCAAUUUCGGAUCCUUAUCUAUAAACUGUACAACACAAUAUGUCAACUGCUGAUGAUAAAUACCCACGGACUUUGGUUUGUGUAGAGGAAUCAGAGCCCUCCACAAAAAUAUCUUGUGUUCCUCCUUCAGUGGCAAAGCAAACCCACUAAUUACACUUCCAAAUAUCUCCAACAGCUCAGAAAUUCCAUUAUGCCUUUCAGUUUCGAAAACAAAACGAUAUAUGAUAUUGCUUACAGCUUUCCGGAUAAAUGGUCUGUGUACCAUGAACUUUCCAUAAAUCCUAUGCAGAAUGGUUUUCAAACAAUCUCUUUCUCUUGGGUCCUCAGAGUCAAAGAGGUCAAGUAAUUUUACGAUAAAAGAGUGAUCCACAUGCUUUUUUGCCACCUUUACAUCAAGUGAACUAUAACUGAUAAACCGAACCAGAAGAUCAUACACAAUUUGCAGAUAUGACCAAGCAGGAUCAAACAUUGGUUCUUCAUCUUCUGUUUCACCGCCAGUAAAAUUAGAUCGAUACUUAGGUGGGAAAACUCUAAAUAGGUUGACUGCACACAUUUUACACACUGCAGAAAUUGCUGGUUCAGUGAACUUCACAGUCCCAGAAGAAACAUAAUCAACAAGUUCUAUUAAUGUUUCACGUUUGAGAUCUUGCUUAACUGGAUCGCUGGAAUCAACGAACUCACAGCAAAGGUUCAGCUUGCUGAUAAAUAGAUUAUGCUUCUGUGGGUUUGAAACCUCCUUGAAGGAUAGAUGGGGCUCCACUGCCUCAGCUCCAGCUGCAAUGCUUGAUGGGAAAACUGCUGAAGACACCCGCUUGACAACAUUUAAUUUGCUUGUAAGAGAACUCCCACCAAUUGUACAUGGGAACCCACUCCCCAAAUUGGAAGUAUUGCUGCCAGAAUCACUCCCUAUAGAAUCUAGUGAAUCACACUUUGACGACUUGCGAGGAAGUUUGCUUAGGAUUUGCUUCAGCAUGGUGGACCCUGCAUAAUCCAACCAACAUUUAACAUGGCGAAAUGUUGUAGCAAUCAAAUCAAUACAUCAAUACAUCAAACCUUCAAACAAAAUAUCUUCGGGCACAUCAGCUACAAAACCAUCCACAUAUAUGGAGUGUAACCAUAGUACUACAAUGUCCCGCAAAGGGAUUACACAACAAAGCAAUAUAAGACUUCAACUGUGUAGGUGGUAACGGGAAACGAAAAACAGACUGAGCGGAACACAACUUGCGAUGAAAUUGAAGCCGUUUAGAAGACAACUUCAGUUAGUCCAUGGACUGUUAAUUUGUCUAUUAGUAAUCAUCAAAUCAGAGUAAUAUCUACAUGACUGCAUUUCUUCAGUAAAGUUCAGAACAAAAGCAUAUACAAGUAGCAAGUGAACUGAAUCUUUCACCCACCAGAUCAAACUCAAAAGCAAUCAAUUCAAAACAUGAAAAAUUUAUACACCAAUAAAAAUCUAACAAAUACUUCUAUCUUACUAAAGAAGAACAUCAAUCUGACCACAAAAGAAACAAACACUACAGAAAGAAACAAGUUAAAAACAAGUCUCUAAUUAGCAACGAAUUAUAAGAUAAUAAAUGCCUAUAAAGUUAUUAGAUUUUGGUACAACAAACAAUGGAAACUCAGAUCUGGCACAAAAACAGAAUAAUAACACAGAUCUACACCAACCCCAGAUCACAAUUAUCAUAAAACCCUCUUGAAAAAUAAAACUUGGGCACGAUCUAGACAAUGCACAAACAAAAUUCAUCAAGAACAAGAAUUUGAAGUCUACCCAAGUUAGCUAAACUGAACACAAACAUUCAAGGAGAGAGAAACCUGUUUUGGAGCUUCUGGGUGUGCUUGUAAAAAACACAGAGAGACCCUUUUUAGCAAAUGAGAGUAGAGGAGGAGGUCAUGGUAUCCACAAAACUACCCAAAAUGUAAUUUUGGGUGAGAAAUGAAAAAGCAAUUUACUUUAGAACAAAGGGGAAGAAAAACAUAAGGCAGGCAGCAGAGAGAGAGAAAAAGAGAGAGAGAGAGAGGCAGUGUUUGGCUGUGAAAAAAAUGAUGUUUUGAUCCACUAUCUCCCUUUAUGUUGGACCAAAAGCUUAAGCUAGAGGGCUUCCAUGGGAGAUCAAUACGAGAUCAAUACGAGGUCCUCGAUUGAAAAGAAGAGGCGGUGUGGCAUUUUCUGAGAAUUGCAGGCGCCGGUCUCCACCCAACAAAAAUAAAGUUUUAACACUUUCAGUUGGUAGAGAAGAAAAAAGAAAGAAACUAAACUAUAUGAACAAAAAUAACUAUUUGAGAAAUAUUCCUUAAGCUAAGCUUGGCUGAGCUGAAUAAGAUCUGGAUUGGAUUUUCAUUUGGUAAAAAGCAUUGCUAUUAUUGUACUUGUGGGGCACCGAAAGCGGCCUUCUUGUGUACCAUGUUAGCAGUAGCACCAACCCAACUCUUGUGUGUUGUUCCCUUUCUAACUGAUAUUUUUGUUGGUCCAUUUGGUUUACUUAUGUUUGAUUAGCCCUAAACAAAGAAGAGGGGUAGAUGGAGAGGAGGACUACUAACCUCUUCUAAUGAUGUUAUUAUGACCGUAUCUCUUAUGCACUGAUAUAUUUUAAGUCGCAAUUUGGGUUAAUGCAUCAGAUAUUGAAUAUGUCAUAGUGUAAGUCCGAACAUGCGUUAUUGACUUGAGAUACCUUCACAUUAGUAUCUUACAUAUAAUUAGAUGAGGCAUAGACUCCCCAACAUAUAUUGUACAUACUCUUUUUAACCCAGUUGGGUUAUUUAGGUAACUCAACUUUUAUAAAGUGUUAUCAUAAAAUGAGAGAAUCCAACUCAUGACCUCUAAUGAUAAUACUAAAUUCUAUUAACAAACUGAGUUACAAUUUUCUUACUUGAAUAACUCGGCUUAAGAUCUUGCUUUGUAAUUUAACUGUGAGCCUAAUGCGUUUAAUCAUUGUACGAACUUCGUGGCUUUAAUUAUUAUAAGAGUAACUUUUAUUAAGACAAUAUGUGAGAAUUAAAAAAAUGUAUAUGGAUAGCACCACCUUUUUAUUAAUGUAUUUCACUCUUCAAAUUCCAUAGGGGUGAUUUUAAAAAAGAAAAGGAACCAUAAUGCAUGUUGGCCAAUUUAACAAAAGGUUAAUCUUUUGAUUUGUUCAAUUGUUCCCCAAGACAAAUUAUGGGAUCAACAUCAUAACUAAAUGACAAAAUAUAGUGCCAAGUCUUGUCCUACCCAACAGGGUGCCCAUCAAUUAGUUGGUAAGCAGAAAAAAUGUGUAUUAAACAAAAAUAAAGCAAAGUUAAAAUAAUAAAAGGUUGGAGUUUGCUUAUCGGCUUUGAGAAGCAAAGAAGACCAAAUGAUUCACAUAACAAUAACUUUGUUUCCAUUUAACUUCAAUCUCAUCCGUUAUAGUGAACUUUAUUUACAAAGUUAUGUUUGCCUGAUGACAUCCUAAUAACAACAAUAAAAUCUUAUUAUAAUAAGUGAGGUUGACUUUAUAUAUGAAUCUUAGAACGUCACUACACUUGAUUUUGCACCAAAUAUUCCGUUAACUCUAGAUACUAUAAUUAAUUGGCUCCCUGUUGGGUAGAACAUGGCUUUGCAUUCUAAGAACGUAAAAAUAUUUUUGCUCUUUACGUGUGAUGACUCAUUUUUCUUUAUUAUAAUGUUUAUAUUGUGAGAGUUACACUUAAUAGUAAGAACGGUGUCCGUUUUCUUGUAUCCAAGUUCGGAAAGGUUAGAUAGUUUACAUGAAGGUAUUGAAUUGGGAGAAUUUAACAGCAAAAUGCACAUGACUUUGGCUCGGUACAAGUACUUAUUAAGGACAAGAUGAUAUUGUCCAAAAAACAAAAGCUGGUGCGCAUUUCUGGCAUAAACUAAGGAAGCUAUUAUUACUAACCAAAUGAUCAAUUUGCAGUAAAAGUAGUAGGGCAGAGUACUUUUACUGGUGCAGCUGUAAUUACCAUCAAAGUUUCACUGAAUAACACACCUAAAAAGAGGGGGGGAAAAGGUACAGUCAGGUUAACCUCUCUCUUAUUUUUCUGACUGAAAUGGCUUUAACAAGGAAAAUAGGGACACCUGAAUUGAGAUUUUCUCUGUAUUUCACAGUUCGAAGCUAACAAAUUGAGUACUUUGGAUCAUUUAUUUUAAAUUUUACGGUUUUUAUUAGUCUAUCUUAUCAGUCUGCCACAUAAAAAUCAAGGGUAUGAUCUUCAAAAUUUCUUCUCCCUCUUUUGAUUUCUUCUCCCUCUUUUGAAUAGUUUGAAUUACGCAAUUUGUCUGCUCUGAACUACAGGAUAUGAAUUCCAUCUAUAUAUGCACAUGAUGACUCAGGAAGGAAUCUGAGUCCUUGGAGCUGCAAAAUGAUUACAUCAAAUUAUUAUAUGACUACCUUUUAAAAGAAGAAAUAAAUAAAAUGAAAUUAAAAGGGAUUAUCUAUUUCUACUUUAACCGUGCAGGACGCCAUGUACGGUGUACCUAUCCCAACGGCAUCUGAACUUUUCAUCAACCGAAUACGCUUGCAUGAUUCUAUAAACAUCCUGCAAUUAAUUGGAACAAAAAAACAAAGAAGAAAACGUAUGGUUAUACAUAGGUUUAGGGUUUGACAAAUCACAUGAAAGCAAAUUGCAUAACCAAACUUAAAUCUGGAAAAGAAAAUAGAAGUACGAUGAACAAGAAAUAGACCGAACCCUAGUCACACGAAAUGGCUCUAUAUUAUUUUAUGCAACAACAUUAAUCAAGACUCUUAUAGUUGAUGAAAAAUCAAUCAUAUAAUAUUUAAAAUUACAGUUUAUUAUAUGAUCGUUCCACUAACCAAACUCCACUAACGCUAAAGAUUUGGCCAUUUAGAAGGCUGGUGGGGAUUUGAAUUUGGGUCGCUACUAUGUAACACUUUGCCAACUCAACUAUAUAUAACCAUGAGGAUUAACAUGCACAUGGUACUCUUGGCUUGCUACAUAUAUACUUAAACACUAACUAAUUUUAGUUAUAUGAAAUGUUUUGGCAGAUUUGUGACAAACAUGCAUAUGUAGCACUUCCAGUCCUUUUAAAAAUACUUCCAUACGAGCCCGUAGGUACUGGUAACUUACUUCCAAGGGACGUCUCCAACUAACAUCCAGUCUCCAUACUUGUCUUCAUAUGUCAGCACAUAUUGAUCCAUUCCUUUCAAUGCAGGUUUCAUAACCUCAUUGCUAUCCUCAAUAUACUUACCUAAUUAAAACAUUAUCCAGAUUAAUUACUAACCUUGUAUUUAUUAAUUAGAGCUUGUAUCACAAAUUUAUAUUGGUAUAACAACUAGUUAAUUAACUAGCGCUAGCUAGAUUUUAGCUUAAUUAACUUUAUAAUACUCACGGCAUAUGGUUAAGAAGUGAACAUUUGGUCUAAGGCUGUCAAUAGCUCCUGAUAACUUUUGUACUCCUCCAAGUCUAGUUUACGCAGAUAAGGAGCUCCAUCUGCACUCACUUUUACAUUCUUUCUGCUGCUCUCCACCACCACCAACGCCUUCUGUCUCAUCGAUCUUACCGGCGGCCACCCAAUUAUUCUUGCUCUGAAUAUCAAAACCCCAAAUACACAGUUCGUUAGAUAAAGCUGAAAGGAAAAUGUCGACAAGCUAAACAAGUAUGAUGAUUUAGUCAACUUUUGACAUGGAUAUAUAAUUCUUGGAUUACAAUUUUAAAACUGAACGAUUUGAUAUCACACAUCGGAACUAUGCAUGUACGAAACAACAUAGACAAGUUAAAACAAGGACAUGGGUCCUCUCCAAUCUUUGCUUUGCAGCUGGGGCUUUGAUGACGGCGGGAGUAGUUGUAGAACUACUACUUGAUAAUGAACUGCCACGUGGACCGCUACAGGUAGAGCUUUUCUGUAGGCAAAUCUGAUCAACGGUCUCCAUGAACCCACGUUUCAUCGAGCUGCCACUCCAAAGACACGAUGAUGAUCAUAAUGACGUCGUACCAGGUAACCCUAAGGUGAGCUCAGUGUCCUUAAACUCCAUGCUUUCAUUUGCUGACAUCAGCUUUCCGGUCGGCCGGCUAGUACUGUGUGAACUUAUGCAGGUUGUUUGCUUUGUUGUUACAUACAUAGAGAACAGGAAGAGUGGAGGUAGAAAAUUUCGAAGGAGGAUCUCGCCGGAUCUCUUUCCUAUGGAUCCUAGCGAUUUCGCAAUUAUAUCCGUUCAUCGUAUAUUGUGCGAUCGAUUUUUGUUAGGUAUUAUUUAUAUUUGAAUUUUAAAUUUUAAAUUUUAAAUAAUUUAUAAUCGUACGAUGUAUAAUGAACGAAUAAGAUUGCAGGAUUCUUAGAAAAGGGAUCGGCAAGGAUCCUUGUUUGAUUAUUUCAAUGGCACGAGGGGGGGGCGAAUGAGGAGAGUCCACGUGGGGUCAGGUUCAUGCAUGGCUUGACAGUAGCAGCAUAGAAGUUUGUGCCGGCUGUCGGUUCAUCCAAUCCGAUUCAGUUUCUGUCACUCCCUCUGAAUCGACUUCCAUACAUUAUUACCAAAAUUACCAUAAUGCUUUAGAAAUUCCACAUCUUCAAUUGUACAAAUUGGAGGAAAUUCUGUAGGCAUUAUAAGCAAAAGUUACAUAGGGAAUUAUUGAAAGGAUGUGAUAUCACACAUUUCUUUUUACUUUUUACAAACAUUUUUAAUUUUCGGCCGUCGGAUCGGAUGAAAUAAAGAAGAUCAACGGACAUAAAUUAACAAGGGGUGUGUGAGAAGUAAAAAUGGGUGUGUGGAUAACACAUCCCUUAUUGAAUAUGUUAUAAAUACGCGUGAUAUAAUUUAAGUGAAACAGUAAUGUUACGUAACAAUAUUUUGUUUUGGUUUAUGAAAAAUUAUUCGUGCUAAUUGUUGUGCAUACAUAUAUAAUUCCAUUAGGAUAAUCCAAUUAGCGUAUAUCCUAAUCCUCUUUUUGUAUUUUUUUGGUAGAUAUUAUAUCGCUUAAAUAUUUGAUUUAGAGAAUCAUAGUAUUUCUCUAGGAAGAGGAUAUUUGAAAUGUGAAAUUUGAAGCCUCAAACAUUAGGGAGAAAAAAGCUCAAACAUCAGGGAGAAAGAUGUAACUAGACGAAAAGUUUGUGUAAUUGAUAACAUCAUAUGAAUUCGAGUUUUCAACUCUUAUUGGGAUCUUGCCAAACAUACGCAAUACUUGAGCAAAAUUAAUUAUUGAGCAAAAUAAGGAUAGAUAUACAUCUAUUUAUAUAUCACAUUUAUGAAUCACUUAAUACGACAAUUAAUGUGGUAGAUCACGUUAUCUGCCAUGUCAGAAGCUUGUCUUAGUUAAGUUUCUAAUAUAUAAUGAUUGUGUGACAUAUGGUUAUCAAACUUUUUUUUUUUUUUGUGAACAUAAGUUAUCAAACUUUAAGGAUGCAUAAGUGUAAUCUUAAUUUAUCACCAUGGAUUGAAUCUAACGAAUGAUCUAACUCGGUCUUUCAAAACUUGGAGAGGAAUAACUUUGACUGCAAAGAAGCCGAUUACAUUGUCCACGCCAACGGGUCUAAAUCCACAUCUUUGCCUCCUUUAAAAUUUGAAAGACUUAUAAUAUACUUUUUGUUCAAGGACAACAAAAAUAUUUUCUAAAAACACAAAAAAGUAUAUAGCCGUUUUCACAUCAUCUCCUUCGUUUCCUUCUCUUUAAUCACAAAACCCAUACAAUAUGUGAGUAUUUCAUGAAAAAAAGGUGGUUUUGAAGUCGAGACAUUUAUUGACAACAAAAAUAAUUACUUAAGCUGUUUUAUUAUUAAUAAUAUAUUAAUCCUUCAACCAACUUGGAUUACUAAACUCACCUCUCAAAAUGUAAAAUAAAACAGGACGUUACUUAGUACUACGUUCUGAAUGUAUUAUUUUUAUGUAUAAGUGAGAGAUUUUAAGCUCAAUUUUUGUCAAAACAAAUUUGAACCAAUUUAUUAUAACUAGCCAUUGUAAAACUUGAUUCACGCUUCAACCCCUUAAUGUAAAUAAUAUGGUAAGUUUCAAAAAAUGUAAAUAAAACUAUACAAAGUGCGGGGUGGGGGGUGGGGGGGGGGGGACUCGUUGACUACGAAUUUGGAUCCUCUCCUAAGCCAAUGGAGAGGAUCCUCCUAACCAACCAUUGUGGACUGUUGGAUUUUUAUCCAAUAACUACAAACAGAGAAAUCCUUUUAAAGUUAUAAUAAUUACAGUUGGUCAGGAGGAUCAUCUCCAUUGGCUCAGGAGAUGAUCCAAAUCCGUUGACUACAGUUCCCAAAUUAAGGAUGAAAUAAGUCGACAAGCAUGUGACAAGUGUUGGAAUGUCGAAAUCGUGUUGCCUUCCAAUUCGUUGAAUUGAAAUCCAACAAGUGGCAGCCACUGAAAAUGAAAAUGAAGAUGCCUAUAUUGCUAAGGAGGCAGAUUGUCUGUCCUCCUCUUUGGGUGCCCUUCCGAUCCUCUCAUAUUUUGUGCGAUCACGGUUAAACUACGUCAACAUUUUAUAUUAAUUUUUUAUAGAGAUAAUAAGACAAAAAAUAAUAAAAAUAUAAAAUAUUGACGUGGCUUAACCGUUACCGUACAAAUAAGAAAAGAUAAGAAGGGCACCCAAAGAAGAGGGCAGACAAUCUACCUCCAUAUUGCUAAACCAGCGCGCAGCUUUACACGACCAGUAGCUUUAACUUUAGAUUAGUUGUUAAUCUUCUUUCUUUUUCUUAUUCCAGUUAAUAUUUAAUUAAACAUUUACUUAAACCCUUAUUCAGUGUUCACCGCUGAAAUCUCACUAGUAUCAAACAUUGGCGAGAUUCCUAGGAUUAGACAUCAGUCAUCUAAUUCAUAGUUAUGGAUUCAGAAUUUUUUCUUCUUCUUGAGAUCAACUUGAGAUCAAGAUGAAGUUCACACGCUACGUUUACUAGUUACUCUUGACUCAUUACCCUGCCUUAGCCUCUUAGGGGCAUUUAGUUAAACCUUUUGAGUCAUACUCAAAGGCUUGACAAAAGGGUUGUAUUUGUCGUGUUCGUGUUGUUUUGUGUCAUACUCGUUAUCUAAACGAGUCGUGUGGUGUCAAACUAGUUACCUUAACUGGUCUUAAUAGGUGACCCGAAAACGAAUUGGUAACGAGUUCUUAACAAGAAAUAACCUGAUAACAACCCAUAACGGGUCAUUUAGUAUUCGGGUAGCAAAUCAUGCAAGAAAUUGUCAAGCCUAAUCUCUAGAUUUGGCUAACGAUAUAUCAUUAGGUUCUUAACGGAUGAUUCGAUAACGAUCCGAUUCGUUAACAGGUUGACCUGAAACCUAUUAUUUUCGUAUUGUUUCGUGUCGGGUUAACGAGUUGUGCAAGAAAUUGCCAAACUUACUCUAAGAUACCAUCAACUGAAUAGCGGGAAGUGAGAGCAAUUGCAUACAUAAAAGUUUACAGUGGAUCCACGAGUGUAGUCGUAGUUAUGUAGAAUUUCAUAGAAUGAUUCAAAGUUUAAAUUAGUUGGCAUGCGAUGGUAUAAUUAAUAACCAAUGUAUUUGGUUUUGCGCCAUCCAAUUUCAAUUAAGCAAUUGGAGAAUGAUGCCUAAUCAUGUGAGGUCUCAUGCAGAGUUUUGAGCUUUCAACCUGUACAUGUGCAAUUGUGCAUGCAUAUGAGUUGUAUUAAGAACAAAACAAAGCCAUUAAAUAUAUAUAUUUUUUCCUCUAGUUUUAAUUGUAGCAUUUUAAUUUGGGCUUUUAAUAGUUUUAUUUUCUUCACAAUAAUAUGGGCUUAAAUCAAACACCAACAGGCACAGACAACUUCAGGUAGAAUACCCAAAUCAAUAACCUUCACCUGUAGCCAAAAAAGUGGGGUACUUUUAAAUUUAUUCAUUUGUUAUAAAUAGGUAAAAGAGAGACAACUUUUGUUAGAGAUCGAAGUAGAACAUGAUUAGUGUAUCACUCUGUCACAUUCUCUUUACUUGUGUUAGAUAAGGGAAAUAAAUAUAGAAGGAAAGAAGCGAGAGACACUUGUAGAAUUUAUUUCUGCAAUAUGAUUUGAUCUUUUGUUGUUUUGUAAGAAAAAUGUGUUGUUUAUGGUAUUUCGGAGUCACAAUAUAACUCUUUUAUAUAGGCAAAAGUCACAGAGACAAACAACCAAAAUCUUAGUUUUCCAAAAAAAAAAAAAAAAAAAAACCAUAAUCUUACGGAUAUGACAAUCACAAAGCAAAGACGGUUGUAGCAAAUAGUAGGUAAAAGCUUCUCCAUCGCAUGUGGGGCAUCCAUAUUUACAACAUUAUUUGAGUUUUACCACAAAUAAUCUUUUAUACCAAUUCAUUGAUUUUCUUCAAAUAAUCCUUUAUAUUCUAUACUCAACAAUUUGGUCUAACAAUUCACAUGGCACAAUGUGAUUGGCUUCCUAGAUCCCGUUUUUACGUCACAUCAGCUCGUUAACAAUUUUUAAUGAACUAAAACAACAAUGACGAAAUUGAUGAGUUUAGAACAUAAAAGACCAAAUUGACAAGUUGAUAAAACAUUAAUGAUUUGUGAUAAAAACUCUUUAUUUUCCAGCUCAAAAAUUUCAAUAAAAAUAUUAGCAAAGCCUAGCUAGAACAGUAUCAGGACAAAGUCCAGUCGACCAAGACAACAUUGAAAUAUCCUUUAUGUAAGUGGUGCGCUAAAAGUUUAGACUGGACAAUUGUGUCUCUUCUAGUCUUUGAAUUGCAUAAAUCAAAUAAAAAUAGAGGCAAACAGAAAUGUACACGAGCAAAAUGGGUGUUCGGAAAUCAUUUUCCGGAAGAAAAAUGGCGAUUUUAAUUGAGAAAUAAAAAAAUAAAAAAUGCGAUGUAGAGAGUGCAAUACAAGAGGAGGUCAUUAUUCACAAAGACACCAAUCUUCCUACAAAACGAUCCAAAUGUGAACUAAUGAAAAAAUUAAGCCAUAUCUAACUAGAGAAAAUGACAAAAAUAGUCUUGUCUUUUGCCCAGUUUACCAAGACGAUUAAUCUGGCGUCAGGAUAAAACACCAAAGGUUCCCAGUGGCACAAACCAAUAAAAUUACAGGCACAAAACCACCAUGGCCGGGUGGAGUAACGACGCAGACUACUAGGGCGGGGAGAGAGACGGGGAGAGCGCGAACCAGAGCAAGAGAGAGGGAGAGAAGAAGAAGAAGAAGAGUACACAAGGGCUAAUUACAAAGGGACUACAUUUUAUCCUUUUUCCAAAGAUGACAGAUGGGAAUAUAUAUAUAGGGUGAAGAAACAUAUUUCAAUCCGAGAAACAUGAGAAGGUUUGUACACAAGCAAUGGGCACAAGCCGAGGGGACGGGUUCUGUCCCAGCCAUAACGAACCCAAUGUUUUGCUAUGCGCUUUCUGCUGGAAGAUGACCCACAAUCCCAAGAUUGUUGGCAUAUUUGGGCCUCCACUCAGUCCUUCCCCUCACAAUCUCAGCCCCAUCCUCAAGUCGAAGCAUGUGCUGGCACUCCACCGUGCCAUUACUUCCCAGGUUGCCGAUAUCAGCACCUGAGACUGCAGUCAGAGACUGAAGCACACUGUCCCUCCCGCACUCCCUCCUAUACUCCAGAGUCAAAGAAGAGAGCUCAUGACUCUCCAGGAUUGGCAAGGGAGCACCCUGCAUCAACCAGAAUCAUCUUUCAGUUAAAGAGGUGUGCAAUAGUAUAAGAUGUAAAUAAGGAACGAUCAUUAUCCAAUAUCCAUCCAAAAUCUCGAUGUAACAUAGCCGCUAAUUACUUUUCAGCUUGGUAUGUAGGUUCAACUUAAAAUCAGCAAACCUACUAGUACAACUUCAACUAAUGGAAAGAAAAAAAUUCCAUUGAAAAAAGUCUACCUCAAGGAUCCAGCCAAUGUACUUCACGUUAUUAACGUGCUGGUUGACAUCUAAAUCACUCCAUCUAGGCUGCAAAUUGAGGGGGAAAAGGAAACAUAAAUAGAAAAUCUUUCGUAGUGAGCAAGCAGCUAAAAGAAACGCGUGAAUUAUGUGCAAAGAUGGUUGACUUACAGUCAAACCAGAGAGAACAACGUCCGCUGUUUUGUCAUCAAGUUUCGGCAGUUUCCUGCCAUCUUCCUCCACAACAGGAGGAGAAUUCAUAAAAAAGGACUCUAUUUCACCGCGAACUGCAUCAGGCAUCUUUGAUAAUCUCCUCGUCACUUUAUUCAUCAUCACCCACACACUGCAAAACCAAAAGGGAAAACAACGGCCAUACAAAUCCCAGUAAGUUACUCUUUAAAACACCAUUUAAUUGUGCAAGAGCACCAUAUUGCUGAUUGAAUUGCCAAAAGCUACCUUGGAUCUAUAAUAUAGAAAACAUAUCUUAGACUGUAUAACAAUUACCUGGAGGCUCUUGUUAGAAUUUGGCCAGUUUUCAAAUCCUGGAUAAUCCAAUCACGACGCAUUCCAUUCUUCCCAGAGGCACUAACCCAAGUGUCAACUUGAACAACGUCACCCCUGCAAUAAAGAAGCAAUUUGAGUCUAUCAGCAUAAUUGUCCAAUCAAAUUAAUGAGUGACAAAUCCUCCCAUUCAGAGAUAAGAGUUAUAUAUAGUCAUCAGCUAUAACAGAUGGUAUAAAACUUGUCAAUUUUAACCUAGUUGGGCAUAGAAAUGAUGUAUUAGUGCAAGUUAAUUAUGUUCCCAAAGUCGUCGAUACUUUAGCACUCAUUCUUAUAUUGAGAAUUUUGAAUAGUUAGCUUCUGCCUCUAGUAUCUUCCUCUUCUAAAACAAUACAUCAACUCGCUAGAAUCAGAAUGCAAAUGGAUAUGAAUACAUAAUACAUUCAACCUUUAUGCCAAAAUCAUUACAACAUAGAAAGACGAAAGAAAAUAGGUAGCCUUCAGACCUUGAAUACACAGUGAAGAGAAAAAAAAGAAUAUUAAUGAGAAAUUAGCUCCGCCUAUCUACAAAUAACAUUUUGAAUUACUGCAAUAAUGCAUCAACAGUGUGCUUGUGUUUUUUCCAAACACCAAAUUGAAUAGUAACUUUUGAAGUGUCCCCACUACUAUUCAAGGCUAAUCUUAAAAUUAUACAUAAUUCAUACAAUAGAUAACGGCAUAGCAGAACCAACAUAAAUUCCAAAAUAGUAAAGUCAAUCAACCCAAAUACAUAAAUGAACAAGUGACCAGGCAAAAUAAAGAGUAAACAACUUUUCUAGCAGAAGAGCAAGAUGAAUGUGACUUACCAAGUAGGAUAGCGGUCUACCACAACCUGCAUCUUCGUUACCACCCAUAUCAGGUUUCUUACAGUCAUCUCUGGAGUUGAACCAAAACCAUCUCCCAGAAGUCCAGCAGUCUUAACAUGAUUAAGUGCUGUUUCCUGCAGCCCAAAAAGAGAAGUAUGUAAUGACAAAGCUUGUCAGGAAGAAAAUGCACUCAAGCUCAAGAACGUGAACCAGUCACAGAACAUGUAAUUUGUGCUUCAAUCUCCUUAACUACAAACUGAAUUUGAAUUUGUCAAAAACUAUAACAUAGAAAUCAAAUUUGUCAAAAACCUGUAAAUGAUUCAUUAACGUCUCUAUUGAAGCCGUACGAUCAGCACCUAUUUCAUAUGAUCUAAUUGAGAAGUUCUGGCGAAAGACAAGACCAUCCUGAACAAUUCGUCCUAGACCAAAUGGGUCAAUGAGCAUGUCAGGUCGCUUGGGUUUCCAAUCAAGCAUUGUCCAUUGCUUCUCUGCAGCCAAGAAGAUUGUGGUAAUAGCAGCAAGGAGCACACUCCAAUCAGGUAAUUGGUUAAUGAAAGUCCGUGCCGGAGGGGAUGAAAUGUCAUCCCCAUGCUUCCCACUUUCCACGGUUGCCAAACCAACACUAGUUCCAUUUAUCUUUGAAGGGGCUUGAGCAUUUGCCUUUACCUGCAAACCACCAGAUGCAGACUUCGAUUUGAGUCCUAAAUUGGCUGACCCAAGCUUGGCGUUCUUGGCGCUUGAGUCUGAGUUGGGAGAAGAAACCGGAAAGAACGAGGCAGUAGCAGAAGUGGCAACCAUGAUGACAAUUGGAUCAGAGCAAAGAGUCACCGAUCCAAGCACUGUAACAGUAAAAUUCCAAAUUUGUCAAUGUAGUUUCACAUGGGAAUACAAAAAUAACCAAUCUUCAGCAAUAUGCACAAAAUGCCGGCAUGUUACUACUGCGGGCAUAAUAGCCAAUUGCCAGGUAGCAACUGACACCAAAACACCGACGGUAACAUAAUUUGAACAAAAAAUGAGAACAAUUCCUUCCCUAACUAAUUAGGCCAAUAACACCACCUGAUUCCAUACUCAGAAACCAACGAAAAAGCCAAAAGAAUUUGUACUGUGCAAUUAUCAUUUUUCGUUUAUUUGUUUGGGAGAAAGCAGUCUAGAAGACAACCCAAUUCAGAAACUUAAACAAGACUCAACAUUCAAAAUUUGAACAACAUAUUCUCCUUACAAAACCGAAAAAUAGAGGAACUAAACUAAAAAUUACUCUAACCCCAUAAGAGCUAGAAAUUAAAAUUUUCAGCAUAUGUUUCAAUCAUCAAUGAUUGUGUAUAACCAAAAUCGAAAACACGAAAAAUUAACAAAAGUAUCAGAGAAGCCUAAAAUUGGUGAGAAAAAAUGCACAACCAGCUGAAAUUAUAAAACUUUAUCAGAACUUAAUCUGUCUAAAAAAACAGAAUUAAGAAGCACAAUGAUUGAUACAGCUACGGCCCACAAAAAAAACAAAAACAAAAAGAACACUUUCGGGAUAUAUGCAGAGAAAAUCAAGGCAGAUCUGAGCUUUUGCAUCAACACAAAUCCAGUGAGAAAUCACACAACAUUUCAUAUGCCAUACAAAUUAUUUACAAUACGAAAAGAGAACCAUUUUUCCACUUCGUUACUUCAAGCAAACAAAUUUUCUUCCUUGUCUGUUUGGUUGCCGAGAAAAUGCAGAAACGAAAAGAAAAACAAAUCAAAAUUUCAAAACUUUCUCACAUAGAUCUUCAAUUUUAACGGGCAGAGAUAACACCUCCCCCUCAAACGAAACGAAAAAAACAGAAACAACGCGGCAACAACAACAACAUUCCCAUUCAUUCCGCCUUACCUCAACUUUCUCGGCAACCAAACAGGCCCCCUCCGGAAGAAAUCGAGAAAGCUUUCUGGACCUCCUCCUGCCCUCACCUUAAACCAAACAAACACGAAUCCAGAGCAGAUGGAAGGCCUAUUGCGUCAUUCCGGAUCGGCAAAACCUCGAGUUCUGCGUAGUUUCCACGGUUUUCCGAUUCUCCUUCGGUGGUGGUAGUGGGGGUGGUGUUUCUUUUAGCUUUCGAGAGAGAGAAAGUGUAGAGAGAGAGAAAGAGAGAGAGAGAGAGAGAGAGAGAGAGGGAGGGAGGGGAUUUUAGGGCCAGCGGUUUUGUGGGUGGUGGGGAAUUGGCGUCCAGCGAGGGACUCAAUAUAUAGUUUCUCCACCUGGCUGUACGUUAUCCCGCCUCAUUCCAAACUUCUUCACCCGACACCAUUUUUCUUCUUUUAUUUACGUCUUUGCCACUCCCACCUUUUUUUUUUCAAUUUUUAUUUUGUUAAUCGGAUUUAUUAAUUUGCCAACAAUUACUGUUGAGUUCUUUUUUGGUUCAUUAUUAUUGUUGUGUUAUUUUGGUUUAACAUUAUUGUUAUUGUUGAGUUGAGGGACCUUUUAUGUUUUACCAAAUUGCAGAAAUUGUCGUUAUGGUGGGGUUAUAUGUAAAUUUUAGAAUAUAUGGUGGUAAAAAAAAAAAAAAAAAAACUCUUGAUGACACACAUGUGUGAAUAAGUUAUCAAUUUUAGUCCAAAUCAAACUUAACAUCUAAAUUGUUUAAUUUUUUUUUUUGUAAGAGAUCUUGUAACGCAAUUAGUUAAGAAUAUUCGUUGUUGCAUCAUCUUGUAGUUUAGAUGAGUUUAGUGUAUCAUCAUAUUGUUUGUCCAACAAAAAAAAGUCUAAUUCUGUCCAUGUAAGCCUCAUUUUUAAGAAUGGAAGAUCAUUUCAAGCCUAAUUUAAAGGUCAAACAAACAUUGCAUGCCUAAACUCAGCCAAGUUAGCUACAGUGUGAUCUACGUUAUGCAUUCAAUGUUCGAAGUUCUCUUCUAGGUAAGAUAAAUUGACUAUAAAACAUAACUUAUAAAUUCAAACAAAGUUCAAUGUCUGAAAACAACAUUUUCACUCUUGUAUGUGAACCACACAUAAACGAAUCUAUUCAAAAGAUAAAUAUCAUGACAACCACAAUUGCGAAUUCUCUUAAUACUCUUUGAAACGCUUCACUUUUACCAUACUUUGUAUUGAGUCAAUUUAGGAAAUUAUGAACACAUUAGUGAGUAGUUUAAUAUCACCAUCACGUUUGUUCAAAAUUUGAAACAUGUCAUUUUUAAAGGUGUAAAAGGGGCAAUUUGGACCCUCCCCUCAAAUUCAUGAUUCAAACAAUAUCCGUCCUUUAACUCUAAAACAAUGUUAAACUUGUGAUUAUCCAUCUUGUAACUUCCAAAAGUUAACAACAACAUCAUCCUAGCGUUAUAAUAAUACCUUUUUAAUUUAAAAAAAAACAUACAAAUUGUAUUUUGGGACAUAUAUUGGUUGAGCUACGUAUUAGCUCGAUGCCAAACUUGAACACUACAUUCCAUGAUACCCAUCUCUCAAAUUGAUGGUGAGUAGCUCAACCAUAUGUGUACUAAAUUAACAGUUGUAUUGCCAGCUCAAAUUGGUUUUGACCUCCAACGCGUUGGAGACCGAAGGAAUUACAUUCAUUCUCAAAUUGUUUAUAUAUGUAUACAAACAUCUAUAUAUAUACAUGGUUUUGACUUGUCAUAUGAUUAUGUGUCAUGUUACUUGAGGUCUUCAAAUAAUCAAGAUCCUCUUCAGAUUUCUGUGUUCGAAGAUGACGGACAUAAAGAUCUGAACCACUCAUUUUAAAUCAUAUGACCUUCAUUAAUACAUCUCAUUAGCCCACAUCACACAAAUUAAGGGUUCAGAUCUCUCUCUCUCUUGAACGGUCUGAAUUUCUCAGUCCAUCGACUUCGAACUGUGAGAUUCGAAGAAAAUUUGAAUUCGUAUUAAGAAACAAGUUUCAUUAAAAAAGUACACCAUUUUAAUUCUUCCAUCGACCAUCCCCCCAUCGGCCAUCCUCCAUCAGCCAUCCCCUUAACUUAACCCAGCAAUAUUACAAUUUUAUUUUAUUUUGUCAUCCUAUCCAUAAACUUUAAUUUAAAAUGUGUAUUGUUGAAAAACGUUGAUGUAUAUAUGCUUUUUUUGGUAAUACGAAAGGAAAAGGAAAGUCUCAUUUGACAAGCUCAAUGAACUUUGUUCGUUGGCUCAAGUUUUGACCCUUCAAUCUUGUUGGCUCACGCUACGUUUUCAUGCAAGCAUACUCCUCAAAAAAGUUACUCUAAACAAGUUAAUCUGCUCAAUAGAGCCAUAUCUGUGACGUAGAUCAACUUGAUCAAAAGAAAACAACUCUCGAUUCAACAACUUUUAUCACUUAAAUUUGCAUUCAAAGUUUCCUUCCGAAAAGAUGGACGACUACAUGCACGUACGUCAUUAUACUAAACAGUCAUCCAGUGCUUGUGCAGUGUUGAAUAACUUUUAGGUUUGACAAUGACACUGCUAGUGCUAAAGCAAAUCAGGUGGUGAUAUAACACGUACCAAACCACUUACAUGUAGACCUGUAAACGGGUCGGGUUUAUUGAGUUUGAUCGGGUUCAACUUGACCGGUUAAGUUAACAGGUCAUCCGAAUUCAACCCGUUAAGCUAACGGGUCACCCGAACCCGACCCCGACCCGUUAAGCUAACGGGUCACCCAUUUCACCCUUUAACACCUGUUAACAAUUAUUAUUAUUUUUUCUUUUUGCAUAGAGUUUAUAUUUUGUUGUUAAAACUUUAUUGAAAUUACUAAAACAUCCUCAACUAAAGGGUGUUAACGGGUGCUAACGAGUCUAAUGGGUUGACCCAAAGUGACCCGUUAUUUAACGAGUUGUUAACGGGUCGGGUCUGAUCGGGUUAACGGAUUAUGUUCAAAAUGCCAGGUCUACUUACAUGAUAACAUGCGUAAAACCAAACAUUUCGCAUCCUUGUUUUGUGAAUUAUGUGUAAUGAUCGCUUUAAAAUUUCUCGUGCUUGUGUUGUGAACUAACGUGUGCGUUUAUGGAAAAAUAGAAAAGAAAAAGAAAAAGCUAAUUAAUUAGACCGGUAAACUACAUGUUGUAUCUUCUGCGUGUGUUUGGCGCGUUGAACGUUAAGACGUUUCCUUGCUUGUGGACUGUGACGUGUGCGAAGCUGGUAAAACCAAGAAGUUUCUUUUCCGGCGGUCAAGGGCGGAGAGAACAACGGUGAAAAGACGUGCAACGGACAUAUACCAGUGGCAGUUUUGUGAAUAUCAGUGCAUGGAAAGGCAAACUUGGUAAAGCGAUAAACAGUUAGCGUAGCCUAACAAGGGAUUUAAUCCGUUAACUGUCCUCGGCUAUUUGUUCACUGGUCCCCAUGAUCCGUUCACUUACACAGCCUGGCAACCAGCAAUUAGGGUUUUGAACUUAUGGGAUACAACCUGGAUUUAUAACCAAAAAAUAAAUUAAAUAAUUUAGUAUAUGAAAUUAAAUUACGAUAUGAAUAUUAAUCGACUAAAAUUAUUAAUUAAUAAUGGUUUUAUUUUUCAUAGAAAAAUAUUUUCCUAAACCUUGCAAUAGAUUGAUUGGGAUAGUGUAUCCGAGAGCCAUGUGAGAUUGGAUAAGGUGGGGUUGCCAUCCGGUUAGUACGUAUUAAAAGUAAUACUAUAAUAAUCUAACAGAAAUGAUACGUACACACGUUCUAAGUUUGAUUCCUAAAAUUACAUGAUGAUAGUCAGAGGAGGAUGAAAUGUCUCCAUGAGUUUCUCCUUCCCCCCCCCCCCCCCCGGGCACCAGUUGGUCCAUUUAAAAAAAAAAAUUCUAAUAGAAAUUUUAUAUUAACUAUUAACAAUUAUGUUUACGGGUAUAACACUUCAAGUCAUGGGUUUUGCUGGCAAGAGAUGGAAUAAUAUGGAUUAAAGUUUGGAUAAGCUCGAUGUUUAAUGUCCUCCGAUGCAAUUUCGUUCUAAGUAAUUUAUAGUAAGAGAUGUAACGUGUCCUAUUUAUCAAGACAAGUGGCAGAUAUAAGGACUGAGAUUUUAUACGAAUUAGGAACUCAAUUAGGAAGAUGACUCUUGAAAGAUAAGCCAAACUAGGGUUAAUUAAGGGCCUUAAGGGCUUCGGUUUCAAAAUUUUAUUCUUCACACGGAACCUUAACCCUAUCUAGGAGAAUUUUGAAAUCGAAGCCUUAACCUAGUCUAGGUUUUACUAUGAGAUGAGAAUAUGAAUGCCAUGCGUGAUCGAGUAGUCAAUUUCCCAUAUAUAUAUAUAAAAGUCAAGAGAUACACUUUUGACGUUUUUUUUUUUCGUGGAGUUCAUUUUGUAAUGUAUUUUAACGAUUCAAAAUAUUUAUAUUUUAGUUAAUCAUUCAUAAAUCAUACUUGCACAAAAUUAGACAAAUCCAAAACCAUUAAAACAUACAUUCAUUUAUAGUAAAGAAAACGAACGAAUAUGGUCCUACAAAAAAAAACUAAAUUUAAUCCUACAUGCAGACAUAUAUGGCUUCAGAUUUAUGUGAUUUUUUUAUAGAUAUGAUAUUUGAGUUAAAACAUAAAAGAUAGACGGUUAGGUCUUUGAAAUACAUUACGGAGCGGGCUACACGAAAAUAUGUGUCAAAAUGUGUGUCAGAAGCGUGUAUCCCUGGAUUAUAACAUAUAUCUAAAUAUAAUUACCCAAAUCGAAGCCUUAAGAACUAGUCUAGGACGUUCUCUUAUGAGAGGUCACUUCCAUAUAUAAUAACAUGCAUACGCUCCAAUACAACAUGAACUCAAAGACAGAAUGAACUCGGAAAUGAAUCGAACUUGGAGGUGAGUGGCUGUGCAAAUAUGCACGUAAGAGGCUCGAUCAAUACUGAUCAUGAGGUCUACAGGAUAUAAAUCCACCGCUUCUAUGGGCGCUCUGGGUUUUCUGCUACCUGUCUGAAUAAUGUGCCUUCCUUUUAUUGUUCUCAAACAAUCUGAGACAGCCACGUACAAGCACAAUGCAUAGACUCCACAAAAGAAUAUGAGAGACCAAAGCCACAUUAUGCCAAAUUCAAUUAAUGUCACAUGAGCAUAUUUUCUAUUCUCAUCUACCAACCAAUUUCUCUGUUCAUCUAUUCAAUAUCGUUUUUAAUUAUUUGAAUGACUUAUAUAUGUAUGUGUUUAUAUCUCUUUGAGUGGUGAACCUUAAAAAAUAAAGAAAUGUUUGCAAUCCCAGAGUUCGAUUUGAAUAAUAAAAAUAAUUGAGAGAGAAUAGCACUAGGAGUCAAUGAAGACGGGUUAUUGGAACAAUUGACAUAACCGUAUGCAGAUCUAGAAUUCGAAGUUUAGGGUGCCAAUAUUAAAAGUCUGAAUGUCUUAGAUAGAAAAAUAUCGCGAAAGGCGAAAAAAAAAUUUAUUCACUAAAGCAUUUUGUUGAAUACCUUAUGGGUUUGUUGUCGUUAGCUAAAUUAAGUUGCGCACAUGUCAACAUGUAUUGACAUAUGCCAAAACAAUCUAAUGAGUGUUGUUGAGAGAAAUUAUCGAGUGUUGUCGAUGCAACCUGCCAGAGGCACUUCGCCAAACACUUGGGGGCUCAUGUAUAAGUGCUUUUAAAAUGACUUAAAACACUUUUUGGUAAAAUUGAUUUGAGUUCUAAAAGCACUUUUAAGUGUUUUUUGUAAGAAACAUCAAAUAUGUUAUUUUUGCAUGAAGCACUUAAAGUGUUUUUUAAGGAUCCACUUAAACUUUUACUAAGAAUUGGUCAUUUUCAUUAAAAACGCUUUCAGUUAUUUUAAAUGCACUUCCAAAUGAGUCAUUGAAGGUCACAAAAAAGAUUUGUACUAAACAUUCGAUAGGUCUAAAAGACCAUCACAUGUAAAUUAAUCAGACUAUGAAUAGCCCUACCACCUUAAUCCCAAUAUACAUUUGCCCACCGGUCACUACAACAUCUCGAAACAUGUUUUUAUACUGUUGUUACAUAAAACUUGUUGCUAUAACAAUAAAAAUUACAUUUGAUAAUUGUUGUGUUAUCUGUCUCGUCGGAACAACUACGUAGGAAAAAGUAGCUGUCCUGUCACCAUGCAUGCAAUUGAGCAACGUAAUGAAGAACACUGAUUCAUCUUAGCAACACGCUCACCAAGAACCUUAAAUUGAUUACUUGUUAUUGUUAUUUCGUGUGCAAACAAUUUACAAAUUCACAUUAAGUUCUAUUAUUUUAAACAAGAUCAGUCGCUUUUUUGUUUCAAAGAUGAGAAACGCAACACGAACUUGUCCGCUCAUCUUUAUAUUGAUGUUAACCAAUCACCGAAUGACUACUAUAAAUGAGUUCAAUAAGAGAGUUUCGGACUUUCAAUUUAAAGUAUUUAUUUAAGUAAAAAACAGAAGAAGAAAAAACCACAAGAAGUUAAAAAAAAAUAUAUUAACCAAAAGCAUAAUAUAACCGGAUGACCAGAGAAUACAGUCUGCAUGGGAUUAUAGGAUUGCAGAGACAUUGUCGGCACAAAUGAAAGAAAGCAAAUUUAGAGCACCUUUCAUGGCUUAAACAGAAAACACUCUUUGCCACACUUUGCCACUUGUCGGUGGUUUUUGUUGAGAGCAUCAAUCUUAUAUUGGGAAAAAAAAUGAUCAGUUUCAAGUUUAGUAUGUAGAUAAUACGGACAAUACAAAUCGAACGACUUGAAGCAUAUGUGAUCUUUGGGUUUCACACGAUCAACAACUUGCUCUGAUACUAUGAAAAAAUUUAAGGUUCCACCAUACAACUUAUUGACAACAUAAAGAGUAGCUCAAUUGCUUAUAAGCACAUGUAAGUCCUAUCAUUUCUCCAAAGGGAGCUCAACACUCCCAAAAGUUUAAUCAAAAUUGCCAGAGUCCAGUGCUGUGGAUUUUUUACUCAAACUGGUUGGAAUAUUAAUUAUCGAACGGUUGAAAAUCAAAUGCCAGAACAUUUUUUUCUGUACAAGUGAGUUGAGCGAAAGAAAAUUGAACACAGAAACUCGAUCCUGUUAUGUGUAUAUAGAUAACCACUUGAAUUAUUUGCGACUGCAAAAGUCAAGACAAUCAUAGGGCAAGACCAAACCAGAGGGAAACAUAUAUAUUAAUAUUACUAGUAAAUUCUGUCAAAGAUUUUGACUUGAUUAGAAGUUUCAGAACGUAGAAUCGAUCGAGUUACGAGUUACGAGUUACGAGUUGAGAGUGAUAGAAGCCAUAUAAAAUCCUUGUAUCAUCAUCGUCAGCAAUGAGUGGAAACCGUCCCCGAAGCUCCUGGAAAAAUUUGUUUCACAUGUAAAUCAUUCUUUUUUCUUCAUUCAUUGUGCCCUUUAUUUAUUUAUUUUUUCUACAAAGACAAUUCUUGAAUCUGUAUUACUAGUACUACUAGAUAAUAUGCACGUUAUGGUUUUCAUGCUUUGGCCCAUAAAUUUGGUAUUUUUUCAAUUACUCUAUGAUACUAUUUAGAAAAAGGCAGGGGUUUAAUAUGAACGAUGAUUUUGUAAUGCAAUCACGUUACGUAUUAAAGUUUACCUUAAUAGUGUAACAUGACAUCCACAACGUAAACACUAAUCUUAUUACAGUAAUAAUAAUGUCAUUCUAUGUUAUUAACUAUAACAUUUCUCUUAUUAUAUAUGUAAUUAAUGUUAGACUAGGAACUUUGACUAUUUUUUGUAAUUCAGACGUUAAAUGCUUAACUUCUUGUUGUAAUGCUUAAAUGCUGUUAAAUAUGAAGGGAGAGAACGCAAAAAUAAAUAACAUUAAAGGAUACUUUUAUAACAAUCACCAAUAAUUUUAUUAAACAAGUACCAUUAACUUUUACAAAAGGUACAGUAGCAUUUUUUUCUCUUUUUUCGUUGUUAAAGAAAGAGGAAAGUAAGGCUCCUUGUGGGUUUUACACUGAUAUGAUCAAACAGUUGAGAGUUGCAAACAAGAAUACAAAAUAAAAUCACCAAAAUGAUCAUGAACUAUGUGGUGCAUGGCAAAGUGACAUGUCAACGUUGCACAACUAACACACAUAUAAUAAAACAAAUUUUGACAAGGAAAUCCGAACUUCUUCAUAGACCCGUGCCUUAGGGUCAAUGUGGGUAGGUUUGAGUUUGUUCAGCUAUGUAUCUCAUAUUCUAUAUAUCUAACACUACACAAACACAAUAUAUAAUAUUUACAGUCUAAAUGCCAAAUUAAGGACCUGCCUGACCUGCCUCCAUGGUGCCGUGGUCCAAAAUAUUAAUCCACCGGUCCCCCAACAUGUUUUUCUUUAUAUUGCCGCCCUUCAGUUUCACAGAACCAUAUAUGUGUAGAAAGACAAACCUGAGCAUACCAGUGAAUAAGAAAAAAUGGACUAGAAUUCAAUAGUUCAAAUUUCGUCCAAAUCACAAUAGUAACAACUUUAUUCUUUUCGAAUCAGCGUGAACCAUUGGAUUUUGAUCCAAUUCCAUGCAAGUGUAUUUUAUGCAGUUCUCAGCUUAGUUUUGAUCCAUAAGCUGUGUAUUUAAAUUCAGAAUCAGUAAUUAUCAUCCAUAAAAAGACUUUGUCGUUAAAUCAAAUAAUCGUGUGUAGUUCGCUAGUUUUGAAGUACAUACCCUAACUAAAUUAUGUAUCCCCUAUAUACCUACCUCCCAAAACCUAAUAAAUAAAUAACCAUAUUAAAAGGAAGAAACAUUGAAUUGAUAUGUAUUAUUCAUGAACGUAGUGCGUUUACAGCCUCAUAGUUUGGAGAUGCCCAAUAAGGGACGAUCUAGUUGUACUCCAAAGCGUUUGGGUCGCAGGAGGUGCACGAUCCUCCUAGGAGAAGAUGGAAAUUGGAAAGUGAAAUCCAAAACCAAAUUCAAUUUUCCACCGUCGGUCGACAUGUGCUGAAUUGAAUUUUCUUAAUAAUAUUGUUAGUUGCAUGUAGUUUGGCAAGCAUGUGUUCAUUGUUGCAAGUUUCUUAUUAAUCUCAAGAAAUUAAUUGGGAAUAAAUUAAUUUUUGACAGUCUAAUUUACCUGAUGAUAAUUUAAAAUGUAGUGCAGGACCUGGCUGGGGUAGUAUAUAUAUUAAUUAAUUUUCAGUUAAUAACUUCAAGACGAUAUCCCACUUACAUGCAAAAGCUUCUCAACUGCAAAGUUUUCAUAAUUUUUGUUUGUGCUUACAGAUUAAUUAAAAAAAAGCAUCGAUCGAUCCUCUACCAAAAAGAGAAAACAAUAAAAAUCUAGAUAUAUAAAUUGAAUUCUGACUCUAAAUAUGUAAAUUGAUUUAAAGGUCCAUGUUUGACUUAGAAGUUGGCGGUUUCAGAAGUUUAGAUACUGGGACAAACUUUCGUAACCACUUAAUUUACAAACCUAGCAAGUUUAUAUUUAAAUGUAAAUUUGAGUACAUCGAGGAUUAGGGUUAUCCCAUGAAAAAGAUAAGAAAAGGAUUAGACAGAAGAGACUACUGGAGAUGUCAAGAAAGUGAAAUUCCACUAACCAAUGGUCCACUCUAUUGCAUGGUUUUCCAAUAUAAAAUUAGAUUUUGGGACAAUAUUGACUUCACUAGAUUGGGACAACAGCGACCCAUGAUUGACAUGGAGCUAAUAUUUUGUAAAAGAUUUGUUAGCAGGAAUGGUAAAACCAAGACCAAUGAGCACGAAAGGUUCGUCAUAGAUAUGUUUAUGCCGGAUUCCGGUCAUUUAAUGCAUUAGGGUUGGUUAACACGCAAUAUCAUCUUCAUGUAUUAUCUACAAGUUUGGCACAAUUAAUGGGUAAGUCACAAUAUGUUUAUUUAGCUGAAUAAGAAUGACAGAAUGAUGGAGAGGAGAGAGAGAGAGAGAGAGAGAGAGGCGAGCCUUGGAUGGAAGGGAUGAUCGAUGUAUAAUCUCUUAGAUCUUUUACAUUGGUUUAUGCAAGUGUGAUACUUAUAUAUAGAAAUCAGAUAACUUGAGUUUAAGUCCAAUAUAUUGAUAUCACUCAUGAGUUUCAUAUAUCACUUUCAUAUAUCCACACACCUAUUUUACCUCCUCACCACCCUUAAUAUAUUAAACUCACGAGUUCAAUAUAUUGUCAUCACACUUAAAUUUUUUAGCCCACUAUAAAAAUGUAAUUCCUAUAUAAGUUUAAUAUACUGGUAGUCACUUUUUCCGACCUAGACAUUAGGGCAACAAUGGCCAUAGUUUUUAUAGCCUCAUAGGAACCCUAAACCCUGUAAUUACUAUAGUAGUAUUAUUCUUCGGGAUUUCUUGUUAGUAACUGCUAGUAUCAUUGGAGUAAUACAGUACAUGAUGUCUUUUUUUUUUUUUUUGGUAAACACAGUACUUGACGUCACAUAGCUCUCAUAGCAAACAUAAAUUUACACCGAGUCUUAAACUAUUUGGUAGAAAUUCCGUCCGUUUAUUGAUGAUAUAUACAUGGUUUAUUAUGCCCUUAUCAUUCUAACUGUUAUAUUUCAUUUGAAAUGUGAUAUGGAAGUAGUUUGAAGUUUGUUUUUGUUACUAAUUCACUCCUAAUAUGAAGCAAGAACUUGUAGAUCAUGUAGUUGAUUAAGAGUGUCAUUCAUGCACUCGAGGUCUUGCGUUGGAAUCUCAACUCUUCCAAUAUUCUUUUCGUUUUCGUUUGUUUGCAGAGGUUUUCAAUACACCAUUCAAAUUAUAACACAUAUAGUUCUUUUAAAGUGUGACACUGUGACUCAUCAACUCUUUCAUCCACCCAUAUUGUGAAAUGAUAAAUCAGGUAAAAAGUGUUGAUAUAUACCCGUAAAAGUUCUCCGUUUGGGUAUAUGGAGCUAUCCUAGUAUUCCGGCUCUAAAUAUAUAAAUUGAAUUAAAGGUCCAAGUUUGACAUAGAUGUUGGGGAUUUUCCAGAAAGAACUAAAGUUAGAAUGUAAAUUAAACUUUAGGUUUAUGAAAAGGAAAAUGCUAGGAUGAUCAUUGAUCAUCUUUUGUAAUCAUAUGAUGUGGUUGUUGUAAUAACAUGAUGUGGCUGUUGAUGAUUCAAAUGAGUCAUGUUUUAAAGAAGGAAAAAUUAGUAUCCGGUUCUUAGUUACUAAUGUUCAUUGAUUGAAACCUUAUUAGUUUUCAGAUUUUGAUCAAAGGCCCUAACAUUAAUGCAAUAAUGAAUUUAGAUGUUAGUUACAUAAUUUUUAAAAUAAAAAUUAAUAAUUGAUUUAGGAUUUUAAUACUCACACCUUUAUUAAACUCCUAACUAAUUUUCAAUUCAAAACAUUUCCCAAAAAAAAAAAAUUAGAAUAAGUUAUACCCCUUAAUAUAAAAGGUUUCCAAUUUUUUAAUCUUAUAUGUACCCAUUCAUGUAAUUUUUCAACUUUUUAAUCUUAAAAUGUACCCCUUUUUUUAUAUAAAAUCUAUUCAAUUUUUUUUCUAAUCCAUUUUUAAACUUAAAUGGGUAAUUCUUUUUCUUGAUUUGAGAAUGUAUCCGUGUCAAAUUUAAUCAAAGAAAUUUAGUAAUGUUAUUAAGCCUAUAUCUAUUUUUUUUGUGUGGUUUGAAGAAUGUCCCAUAUUUGGUACAAUAAUUUUAUUAUUAAUUUGAUGAAUGUACCCAUGUUUAUAUACAUACACACACAAUAUAUUUGAGAGUAUAAUUUAUAUUUUAAUAAUGUUAAUCCACAAAUUAUGGGUUUUAUUUAUUUAUUUAAAAUAUCAUUAAUACAAACAACUAUAAAUUUCAAUUUAAAAAAUAAAAAAUAUAAUUUGUAAAAGAAGAAAAAUUGAAAACCAGCAACUUUUAGAUCACAUCCAAAACUUUAAAGGAAACGCAAAAGUUACACACUAAAAAGCUAUUUUAAGAAGAGUAGGGGAAUUUGCAAGAUUAACACAGAACUAGAUGCAACUUUUCGUGGUUACAACCCUAACAAGUUUAAAUAUUAAUAAAAAUUGAAUAAAGGAUUAGACACUGGAGGAAAGGGAGCGAGAGCUCUUUUCUGUAGAUGCCAGAGAAAGACGAAAGGUUGCACCCCAUGACGUUCCCAAUUAUUUUUCAGGUAUCCGCAGCAUCUUCAAAAUCUUAUCUAAUCCAAAUUUAAGGAAAAGGAAAGUUCAAAAGAUAAAUCUCAAAUGUUAAUUUGGCAGGUGACGUAGCAAUGUUAAAUUUUCUUUUUUUUUAACCGAUAUGUUUUUAAUGUUAUAAAUGAUAUUUGUAGGACCAAUUUUAAAAAGAAAUCAAUUAAAAUAAAUUUUCAAGAUCUAUAAUUGAUACAUUAAUGAGUCCACACAACAUAAUAAUUAAAAAUUAUUUGACAUCACAUUUUCUCAUAUGUCAAAUUUGGCAUAUGAAAACUCACAUAAGAUUGACAUAUUAGUUGGAACUUGCUUAUACCUUCAAAUUUGAUUACAUGACAUUUCACUUAAGAUUUGACAUCUCAUUUGGAAAUACCUGUCUGUUAACACACCCAACUUACUUUGCCCCUUAUAAUUAACCGGUCGAAUCUACAUUAACGAAAUAUAUUCUCUACCCGUAUAAAAUGAAAUUAACUUGCAAAGUUAGCACGCCGGCCCUAUUUGCCUUUGCUUGACUAACUAACCGAACGCACAUAUAUGCACCCAUAUUGAGCAUCUAAAACUAGGCUCAUAAUCAAAAUGAAAACGGGAUGAAAUCAUAUUUUCGUUCAUUCGAUCGUUUGAGAAUCACAAUAUCAGUUCGCAGGUCCAAACCGAGUUAACAUUUCGAGUUGAAAUUAGCACCUAGCUGAGUAGCGAUCGCCACUAAACUCGCGGAAGUUGAAGAACACGAACAAAAAGUUAAACAAGAAACGAAGAUGAAGAAGAAAAACGAAGAAACAAUUAGUUAUGGGAGCAUAAAAUCAACAUAAAACAUGGAAGAAAAUUGCCCAAGAUGAUGAGAUCACACAAAAAUCAGCUCAACUCAAUAUACAAGCGGGCAAUCCCUCUUCACAUGAAAGAAAACAAGUAACUUUUUCUCACUGUUCGUUGGAAAAAUCGCAAUAGCUACCAAGACGCAGACAGUAAAAACUGUACAGUGUACUAUACAGGAAAGUAUGAGGCUUUACUCUUCGGUAAAUGCUUCGCAACGGUUCUUUCGUG